RNAcentral lists this long non-coding RNA (67554 nucleotides) under Triticum aestivum (bread wheat). Its description in RNAcentral is "long non-coding RNA (TAES_LNC008659)". Lineage: Eukaryota; Viridiplantae; Streptophyta; Magnoliopsida; Poales; Poaceae. The record is from RNAcentral.
UCUCCUGUGUUGAAAGAGCUUCUAAUGUUCUUGCAGUCAGGGGCAAAAAAAAACUCACAAAAAUAUGAGCCCAGUGACCAUGAUCCGCUUGCAGCAAAUCUGGCUGAUUCGCUCUCUAUUGGGAAUAUUCCUCUUGGCAUGUUGGUUAUCCCUUUGCACUGAACUGCAUUAUUGAAUCGAAAGGUAGCUAUAUCAUGGGAGUGUAAAAUUUCAUAUUUAUUCACAGGGUUGUGGAUUAUUGUUCUUUAUUGUGAUUUAGAAAGUUUAAUUUUAGUGACAUUUGGUUUUAAUGAGUUCGACAAUAACCCGCAUAUGCUGUUAAUCAGAAGUUAUAUUACACAGUUUCAUCUUCGCUAUUGUCGCGGCAUAGUGUGACAGAAGUUACUCCAGUUGUAUGUAUGUAUCAUCCUUUUCCUACUCAAGUAUCGAGUGGCUAAUAUGUUGCUCUCACCUACAUCUUCUCUUGCAGGCACCUUUUUUUUAGCUGCAAUAUUCAUUUGGAUCUCUCAGCAACAUAUCUUUUCUACUUAAUACUCUACAGGCAUAAUGUUACUGACUAGUUUCCAGUCUAUCUGAAUUUUGUAUAGCUUUUAGAGUGCCUAUUCUCAUGAGCUAAUUCUGAUAUUUUUUGUAGAGCUUCCAUAUUAUCAUUAGGAAGAAUAAGGCUGUCAAGUAUAGCUUUUAGAGUGCCUAUUCUCAUUAGGAAGCAUUAGCUUUGUCUCAGAAGUUCUCUGUAAUGAUCAGCUAUUAGCUAUCAUCGAUGUUUCCAGAGAAUUGUUUCCAAUUGUCUGUCAUCUCAAAUUCUCAAUUGUAUUUAUGAGCAGAUAAAACAUCUACUGUAACACCUGCUGGUAUGAACUACUUGGCUAUAUUUACGUAACUUGUACGUUUAUGUUUUGUACUAUCUGAUGCAAGUCAAUUGUCCUGAGCAAACAUUGUGCCUUGCUUUUGGUACAAAUUGUGCUUUUAUGUUUUAUAGUGAAAUUGCGGUUAUACUUGGCAACAACUACACUUUAUUUUUGAUAUAUAUUUAAUCAGUAUGCUCUAUACAUAUUUAUUCUGUGCGGUUACUCUGUACUAAACAUAUCUCUUUAACCAGAAGUUUCGUUGUAUUGUUGAAUAUGUGCGGUAAACCAUGCCUCCUGCUAACCGACCAUUAUCUGUUUGACCACAUAGUUGGAACCGGCACCCCGCGCCAAGGCGUGCUCCUGAACUAGUAUGGUAGAAUGGCAUCGAUGCAGAUGGACCGACAGGGACCGCAAUGAAAAAAUGGACAACAAGGAGAGAUGGUUGCCCGCUAGGACUUCUCGCCAGCGAGGCGCUAGACUGCCCGCACAGAAUGGAGGGGCAGAAGCUUGUGGAUGGUGCAUAUGGCAGACCGGCGGCUUUUGCUUGGGGGCGCGAUGGUGGUCAGUCGGUGACCUGAGAGCACCGGCGCCCUUUAAUUGCGACGGCGACACUUCUCAAGAUCGUGCGAGGGCCAUCCAUGGCGCAUGCUGGUGGUGCAGGGCGCGUCGACGGUGGAGAUGGCCCCGGAGGCGUCCAAUCCAGAUGACCGGCAGCGGCGGCGGCCUGUGACAUCUCUGGUCAGUAGACUGCAGGCUUCGGAAGGCGCGCUGGCUGGGGCGGCGCGCGCUGGCUGGGGCGGCGCGCGCCGGUAGUGGCGCCGCUGCAGGUGGGGCGGCGCGUGGCCGCGGGAGUAGGCGGGAUCCGGCGAGGGGGCGGCACUGGGGUGGUGGAACCAGGGAAGAGGCCAUGGCGGAGCGGGAGCUCAGCGGGGAUGGGAUCUAGGGAAGUUGGGAUUGGCGGGAGGUGGUGGUCAUGGGUUUUUCUUCUGUGUGUUCGGGAGUUCGGGAAGAUCCCACCGGGCCCUAUAUAGGCACGGUGUGAUCCAAAUAACUAUUUUAAUCCCAGGAUUAAAAUAGUGUUGUCAUAUAUAUAUAAGGCUGGACUAUUUUGUUACUAUUAACAGAAUAAUAUUCUGUUACUCUCGAGCCCGUUCCUGUUUUCCGAACCGGUAUAGGUAUUACUAUUUUUUCCCUAAUAGUAAAGCACGAGUUGAGUCUGUCGGGUUCACCGUCGUGGUUUUUUUAUGAAAAGGUCCCUGUAGUUUUUGGAAUUCAACCCGCAUUACAGAUUGAACCGGUAUGAAUAAAGGGGAAAAAAGGCAGCCACGCUCUGCCUCGCGACGCUCCGCCCCACCCUACCCACCUCCUGCCACGCCCUGCGCCUUGAAUGGGCUAGAAAACUAUAAGGAUACUUGAUUUGUUUCCAUGUCUACCUUUCAGUAUUCAGCCUUGCGAGAAAAGGUGCCUCAGGAUAGAAGCUUGACAUAGGUGUGGCCUUGAAUGCCAGGAUUUUAUGAUUAGCCUGACUCUUCUGUUCUCAUUACAGAAUCAGAAUUCAAAAGAUCAAUGGAAGUUUGCUUAUGAAAGUAAAACAUCAAUGUACUAAUGCAUUUCAAGUUUUCAACAGGAGAGUACUUUCUGAUGUUUUAAUGACCAAGUAUUAUUGAUCUUGAGGUGUGUUAUUGAUCUCCGUUGCUAAAUAGAUGGUGUUUUUUGUUACUUUGUGAAGAAGCAUUGCAUGCAAGACACCAUAGAAAAAAACGGCUGCCAAUCGCAGCUUGAUGGGGCUUGUUGCGCCUCUGGAACACGCAGCCGCUAACAAAGAGCAGCUCGAAGGUUUGAACAAAUGUACAUAUUGAAAUUUAGAGUUCCAACAGUACAUAUGUGCAAGAGUGUAAUGUUCACUUGGAACUUGCUCGUGAUGGAGACGUUCCACAAAAAAAAAGUGAAGACGACCUGAAACUUCAUGAGAUAAUCUAGUAAUUCGGUCUGGUCAGUACAUUUCUGCAUAAACAAAAAAAUAUCCAAUCAAAGCACAUUGGCUUAUGAUGUUUUUUUGUGUGGGAGUUUUAUGAUGUAUUUUUUGUUAGUACAUCGUUUCAUUAAUGAUAUUGGAUGAGGGGAACAAAAAACAUGUGCAUAUGUAGCUCACUGCCAUUGAUUAAUUUACUGAAAAUUGAAUCUAUAAUCAAGACAAUGAGUUAGUUCUAGACAUGCAAAAUUAUGAAUUAAAUUUUUAUUAAACCUACAACUUGAAAAUUCUGAUUUUAUAUCAUAUGUGAUGUUGUAAUAGGAGAGGAUUGGACACUCUUCUAUCUGGUAAUGGAUUGUUUCCAAGAAUGGAUCUUGGUACUUUUGAACAAUUUUAUACUAUUGUUUUGCUAUUUGCAAAGUUGUUUGAUUUGUAUGCGCAAACAUAUUUGUUCGAGUGUUAAUUAGUUUUAUAGGUUUCCAAGCACAUGUUUAUUUAUUAUGCCGCUACUCACGUCAACCCCAAGAAGUCCAUCUAUGUGUGCAUGGGCGAUACAGAUAGUGCGGAGAAGGAAUCAUGUGCGAGAUCACUGGUCAAUCUGGUCCAGAACAUCAAAUGCCGACGUCCAUGGCGCAAGGCAGUGCUUUUCCGAGCAAGCAACCUAGCAAGUGCAUCGGUGAUCAAUGGUUUGUUUGAACAACAUAAUGUGCGAUUAUACUCGGCUUAUAUAUUGGGUUAGGGGUAGGUGGUAAUAUUUUACUCUCGUUGCAACGCAUGAGAACUGAAAUAGAUCAUGACGAACAUUGUUAGGGUACGUCCAAAUUUCAUGGUCAAAAAAGAAAUACUCAAUGUAGUCUUAUUUUUGACGUUUUGCAAAAUUUGGAUUAAAGAAGUGCUGCAUGUUGGCAAGUGGAGCAGGUUUUAAUUUUUCGCCCGGUGCAAUGCACGGGCAUUUGUACUAGUAAUAAGAAACAAAGAGGAAAAAAUCUGGAUUAGUGGGAUACGCUGAGUUAAAACUAGAUAUGAGCAAAGCUUACGAUCGUGUUGAAUAGAAUUUCCUGGAAAGGAUACUUGGUCAGUUGGGCUUCUAUGAGAGUUUUGUACAACUUAUCUCCAAGUGUAUCAGAUCAGUUACAUAUAAAUUCAAGGUUAAUUCCACAUACACUGACGUCGUGGUUCCUGGAAGGGGUUUGCGUCAGGGUGAUCCCAUAUCCCUGUACUUAUUUUUAUUAUGCGCGGAAGGUCUAUCAGCUCUACUUCAUCAAGCGGAAUUUGUAGGCCGGAUUAGAGGCAUUAAAGUGGCACCAACGGCACCCACUGUCACCCACUUAUUUUUUGCAAAUGAUUCCCUAAUGUUUUUUGAAGCUUCUCAGGAGGGAGCAACGGAGAUCAGUAGGAUUCUACAAGUGUAUGAGGCAGGGUCUGGUCAAAUGGUGAAUCGGGAUAAAUCCACAAUUAUGUUCAGUCAGAAUACUAAAAGUGCGGACAAGGAUAUAGUCAUGAAUAUUUUGGGUUUGCAGCAAGAAACAACAUGAGGGAAAUACCUAGGGCUGCCAUUGUAUAUUGGCCGGUCAGUUACACAGUGUUUCGAAUACACAAAGGAUCGGCUUUGGGCUCGAAUACAAGGCUGGUUAGAACGUUUUCUAUCCAUGAAAGGCAAGGAGAUUUUGGUUAAAUCCGUUGCUCAAGCUAUUCCGGCGUAUGCUAUGGGAUGUUUUGAUUUAACUAAAGAGCUUUGUGAAGAGCUUAGUAAGAUGAUUUGCAAGUAUUGGUGGUCGCAACAAAGUGAUGAGAACAAGAUGCAUUGGGUGGGAUGGGAUAAAAUGAAGCUUCCAAAAGAACAAGGUGGUAUUGGUUUCCGAGAUCUCUAUUCUUUUAAUUUGUCGAUGCUCGCACGUCAAGCUUGGCGACUUCUUCAAGCUCCUGAGUCACUUUGUGCUAGAGUGUUGCAAGCAAAAUAUUAUCCUGGUAGUAACAUCCUCUCUGAUGUUUCGACGCCUAAUAUGAGCUAUACUUGGAGAAGUAUUCUCAAGGGUCUCGCUAUUGUAAGAGAGGGGUAUAUUUGACGAGUUGGCUCGGGGGAAAGCAUCGAUAUCUGGAUAGACCCGUGGUUGCCGCGGAAAAUGUCAAGACAUACGCUAUCACAACAAGGAACACACUUGCUCACACGUGUCUCCGAGCUGAUUGAGCCAAACACACAUACAUGGGAUGAGGGGCUUGUAAGGCAGACUUUCCUUCCGAUGAAGGCAAGUGUUAUUCUUUCAAUACCGGUGUUUGAACAGCAUGACGAUUUCAUUGCAUGGCAUUUUGACGCAAAGGGGCUCUUCUCUGUAAAGUCUGCUUAUCGUGUGCACACAGAUAUGAUGAUGAGACAAUCAAACAUCAGUCAAGGAGAUAGCGUCGCCGGGUCAGGGUGGGGAAAGUCAGUGUGGGUUGCUAUUUGGAAAGUGCACUGCCCAGGGAAAGUACAUCAUUUUAUGUGGAGAUUCGGACAUAAUAGUCACCCGCUAAAUAUGAAUAUUGCUAGGCAGGGUGUGGAGUUGGAUACGCGUUGUGUGGUGUGCAAUGAAUAUUUUGAAGAUGGUGGACAUUUCUUUUUCCGUUGCAAGGCAGUCAGAGCUAUGUGGCGAGCGACCGAUCUGGAAAACGAAAGGAUAAAUAUUAUGCAGGCUCCCACGUUGUUGGAGGUGCUAGAGAGGAUUAUGACAUUUCCUGAGCAAAAGAAACUAAAAGUAAUUUGUCUCCUGUGGCGCUGGUGAUCUGAACGCAAUAGAAGAAGACAUGGGGAGGGUACGACUUUGCCGCCGGAAUUUGCAAGAUAAAUAUCAAUGCUUACUGAAGAAUGGAUUCAGUUCCAUUCUCCACCUACCAGACCCCCGAAAGUGCAGAUCAAUCAGUGGGAACCCCCUCCACAGGACUGGGUUAUGUUGGAUUUUGAUGCUUCUUUCAUUGGGGGCUUGGGAACUGGUGGGUGGGGCUGUAUAGCGAGAGAUGCAGCCGGCGAUGUCUUAUGUGCUGCAGCUGGCCUCUUGGUGGAUGUGUCUGAUCCAUUGCAUGCGAAAGCACUUGCUCUAAUUAGAACCAUCAAUUUUGCAGAGAAUUUUGGUAUGGGCCGGGUGAUAUUUAUGACAGAUUGUCUACCUUUGAAGCAAGCCAUAGAUGACAGUAAUGUAGAUCCUUCAUAGCUGGGGAGUCUUUUUCAUGAGACCAAGUAUCAACUACAGAUAGGUUUCAUUCAAUUUAAGCUAGUUUAGAAAUCACGUGAAUGUAAUAUGCCUGCGCAUAAACUAGCUAGUUUUGGUUCUAGGAUGGUGAGGGGUAGUGAGCGUAUUUGGCUCAAUGAUUUACCUCCUGAUGUACUCAUUUUACUCCGUAUGUAGUCACUUGUUGAAAUCUCUAGAAAGACAAAUAUUUGGGAACGGAGGGAGUAGUAAUCUUUGUAGUACUCUUCGUAACACUUCAUAAAGAAAGAGUAGCCCUUUUUUUGUGAGCAACAGUUCAAACGAAUCUGUUGUAUCAGUUCUUAUGAUAGAUAGAAGAAAGUUCACUAGCCAAAAGGUUAGAGUAGUCUACCUUAUAAUUUGCAAUCUUAAAGAUAAUGAUCAGUUUGAAUUAAAAAAUCGGUUUGCAUUAAAAACAAUGAUCAGAUCAAAUUAAAAACAAUGAUCAGUUUGAAUUAAAAAUUCUGAAUUAAAAACAAUGAUCAAAUUUGAAUUAAAAAAAUAAAUGACCAGUUCGAACAAGAAACAAUUAUCAGUUUGAAUUAAAAACAAGAAAGAAAAAAUUGUUUCCAAUAAAUAGAAAUGCGGAAAUUCAAAAAACCCACGAAAACUCAUAUGUUAAAAGUUCAAGUCGCAAAACGAGAGAAGUACAAAACACUGUUGCAAAAGAGUUACAAAAAUAAACACACAAAACAUUUUCUUUUUGAAAAAAAUAUCAUUCAGUUCAACAAUUUAAACCAUAUAAGUUCAAGGAUGUUGAUAACAUAAACCAUCGAAAAGUUAUGAGGAUAACCAUACCAAAAAAGCAGAGUAAAGUCCAAUCUGUGAAAAUACCUCAGUACAAAAAGACACAUAUAUCAGUAUGAGUAUUCUAUUUUUCAAACAAAAAAACAACACGAUGAGAGAAAUUCAAAAUGGAAAAAGUUCAAGUGGUAAAAUGAGAGAAGUCCAACAUAUCGUAGCAAAACAAGGUUGAGUUCAAAAGAAAACACAAAACAUUUUCAUUUUAUUAAAAAAAAUCAUUCGGUUUAAUGGUAUAAACUAUGCAAGUUCGGGCAUGAUGAUACAAUUGAGAAGUUACGAGGAAAAUUAAUAUAAAACCAUACGGGCAUCCGUUCAAGUACUCUUUUUUUUUAAAUCAUUCAAAACUACUGUCAAAAAUACCUCAGUACAAACACAUACAUACAUCAAUACAAAGUACUCUAUUUUUAGACAGGAAAAAACAACACGAUGGGUUUCACACUAUUCAAAAUUACUCUUAAACGGUUGCGAACUAGAGAAAACGUUCAACAUGACUAAGUUUCGCAUUUUUGAUAGCUAUCCAACGGUAUAUUAUUUGCCUCAUUUCGACAAUCUUUAAAAAAAUCGCGUUCAAAAUCAAAUUUGACCGUAUUCGAAUUUGUUUUUAAACCGUAAGGAAUUAGAAAAACAUUUUUAUACGAAAAAGUUGCGCAUUUUCCAUAGCUUUCCAACGCCGUAUCAUUUGCGUCAAUCCGACAAACCAUUUGAAAAAAAAGCAAAAAUACGUUUCGUCCAGAAUUUCACCGUUUUUCAAAUUACUUUUAAAUUGUAUAUAAUUUGAAAAAAAGUAGAUAUAUGGAAGAUGCGUAUUUUUACCAGCUUUCCAACGCCAUCUUAUUUGCUCAAUUCUGACAAACCGUUUGAAAAUUGAGUCCAAAAUACGAUUCACGUUUUCGGUUUUGAAAAAAAACUUUUUUUUCAAAACUGCUUUUAAGCCGUGAUGAUUUUGCAAAAAGUUCCUAUAUAUUUGUAAUGUAGAUGCCAAAAGCUUUCCAACGAUACACUACACACCCCAUUCCGACGAGAUGAAAAUCAUGAGUACAACAGUCUGAAACCAUAUAUAACUAUUCUGAUAACACUUCCGCACUGCACGCUUAACGCAAGUGCACAUAAUUAAGUAUAUGUUGCAACAACCGAUUCUUAGUGGUAGGAUUGGAAAGUGGGCUUACGCACUAAUAGAAUAUGAUUUAACAUAUGAAUCGUUGCGUGCUAUGAAGGGUCAAGUUAUCGCCGAUUUCAUUGUUGAUCAUAGGAUUAAAGAUGAUGAAAAUAUUAAUUAUGUUAGUGUGUGUCCAUGGAAGCUUUAUUUUGAUGGAUCGGUUUGUAGGGGCGGGCAAGGCGUCGGUAAUGUUUUAGUUUCACCUAAUAAUGUUGUUUAUGAUACAUCGGUCCGUUUGGAAUAUCCUUGCACUAAUAACCAAGCUGAGUAUGAAGCUUUACUGUUUGGUUUACAAACUUUAGUUGAUAUGAGCGUAAAGGAUGUAGAUGCUUUUGGGGAUUCGCUUUUGGUAGUACAACAAAUUAAAGGCGAAUUUCAAUGUUUUGAUGGGUUAUUAAAUAGUUAUUUGGACCGAUAUUUAGACAUAAUUAAGUCUCUAGAUAUGUUCAGCAUCCAUCAUAUACCUAGAGAAGAAAAUUCUAGAGCUAAUUGUUUAGCCCAGGAAGCAUCGGGUUAUCACAUUCGUAAAAGAAUGUUUUAUAUAUUAGAAAAGCCGAUGCAUGCUGAGUCUAUAAUGUUGGAUACUUUGCCACGGGGUGCAUUUGGGCCUAACAGUUGAACAACUAGCUUACAAUGUACUGCAGAUUCGGUGCAUGGGUCACAAACGACCGAAUUAGCAAAUAAAUUAGAAUUAAGUGAUUGGAGAGUUCCUCUAGUUAAUCAUUUAAAGGAUCCAAGUAAAACAAGAGAUAGAAAAAUUCGGCGACAAACUUUAAAAUAUACUUUGUUUAAUGACGAGUUGUAUCGCCGAACAAUAGAUGGGUUAUUUUUAAAAUGCUGGGAUUCUGAUCAGUCUAGAGUAGUUAUGGGUGAAGUGCACGAAGGAAUAUGUGGAACACAUCAGUCGGCUCACAAAAUGUGAUGGUUAUUAAAAAGAGCAGGUUUUUAUUGGUCGACUUUGCUAGAGGAUUGUUUUCGGUACUAUAAAGGUUGUGAGGCAUGUCGAAAAUUUGGGAAUAUACAGUUAGCGCCGCAGCUAUGUUAAAUCCUAUAAUUAGGCCGUGGCCAUUUAGAGGAUGGGGUUUAGAUUUUAUUGGUGAAAUACAUCCUUCGUCUUCUAAAAGACAUCGCUUCGUCCUAGUAGCCACAGAUUAUUUUACUAAAUGGACAGAAGCAGUUCCUUUGAAAAACAUGACCCAUAAAGAGGUUAUCAGUUUUGUUUUAGAGCAUAUUGUUCAGAGAUUCAGUAUUCCUCAAACUUUAACUAUCGAUCAAGGUGCUUCUUUUAUGUCUCACCAAUUUCGCGAAUUUGCCGAAUAUUUAGGAAUUAAAUUGUUAAAUUCGUCGCCUUAUUAUGCUCAAGCUAAUGGACAGGCCGAAUCUAGCAAUAAAACUUUAAUUAAGCUUAUAAAGAAGAAAAUUGAGGAGCAUAUGAAAAGAUGGCACGAGGUACUUUCGGAAGCUUUUUGGGCUCAUCGGAUAUCUAAACAUGCAGCAACUCAAGUGGCACUGUACGACUUGGUAUAUGGUCAAGAGGCGGUGUUACCUGUAGAGGUUAAUUUACAAGCUCUUAGAGUGGCCAGACAAAAUGAUUUGUCGACUGUAGAUUAUAAUGAAUUGAUGAUGGAUAUGAUAGAUGAAAUUUCAGAAGAGAGAUUAAGAGCCUUGCGAGAAAUUGAGAAGGAGAAAUUAAGAGUAGCCAAGGCUUAUAAUAAAAGGGUGAGAGAGAAAUCAUUUCAAAUAGGAGAUUUAGUGUGGAAAACGAUUUUACCUAUUGGAACUAAAGAUAGGAAAUUCGGCAAAUGGUCGCCGAGUUGGGAAGGCCCGUACAAAAUCAUAGAGAUUGUUUCUGGAAAUUCAUAUUUUGUAUAAUCUUUGUAGGGAGAGAAGUUGUCCAAAGCUCUCAACGGAAAAUAUUUGAAAAAGUACUAUCCUAGCGUGUGGCAGGAGGCUUGAGGACAUUUGGCCGAUAUAUCAUUCAAGAUAUCGCCCUAAGAAAAAUUGGCUGAUGUAUCUUUGGACAUCGCCCAGAGCAGUAACAUGGUCGGUGAAGUGAUCAAUUUCAUCCUACGGUAAUUGCCCAGAUUUCAGGGAUGCGUUGAACUAGCAUACUUCUGCCAUGAAUAUCUCUUAACCUACCUCGUAUGCUGAAGUAUGGAGUUUGCAUGGACUAGAUGAAGAAGUGUGCUUAGUACAUGACGGUUACUAUUGCAUGUGAUAGCAACGUGGCCGGAGUAUUUUAUUAUUUCCUUGUAGAUACAAAAGUAUAUCUACGUGACAUGGUUAGAACUAGAGCCGGUGUAUUAUUUAGUAUGAUUAGCGAUAUGGCCGGAAUACUUUACUAUUUUCCUUGUAGGCCAUACUAUUAGCGAUAUGGGUACCCGCGGGUACCCUACCCAAAAACAAUGGGUAUGGGCAAGACUUGAAGAGAUUUUCUACCCACGGGUAAUGGAUACCCAUACCCGCAAAAUAUAUGGGUAGGGCAUGGGUAAGAAAUUGUGCCCAUGGGUAACCCAACGGAUACCCAGCAAAAAUUAAUAAAUGAAAAUAACUCCUAUAACAUGUGGGGUUAACAUCCAACUCAUAUGGUCCAACCCUAAAUCUCGUAUUCCUUAAACAAGUCAUAGCUCAUAGGCUCAUAAUCACCUGCUCGCCACUCCUCAUACGUCCUAUGUGACUCCUCAAAAAGAUGAAAUAUCGACUCUUCGCUACCAGACUCUUGUCGAACACUCGAUCCAGCGAUCCCCAAUUCCCACCACCGCCUUCCACUACGUCGGCCAUCCACCAACCGCUGCUCAUACUCCCCUGAUGCCUCUAAGAGGCAACCCACCGGAGGAGGCCACAUACGUGCUAUACUACUCUACCAUGAUCACUUGAAUUUUGAACUCAUUUCUCUACCUCUUAAGAAUUUGAAUGCUAUAUAUUGUACCCAAUGGAUACCCAUUGGGUAUAGGAUACCCGAUGGAUAUGGGCAUGGGUGUCAGUUUAUACCCAUGGGUAUUGAAGUGGGUGGGUAUAAAAAGUUUCUAUGGGUAUGGGUUUGGGUAGAAGGAGGUUGUACCCGCCCAUACCCUACCCAUUGCCAUCCCUGCCCAUAUACCCCGAAAACAUCCAGGAGCACCACGAAACCCUAUUUUCACCGCCGCAACCUUCUGUACCCGUGAGAUCCCAUCUUAGGGCCUUUUCGGGCGCUCCGCCGGAGGGGGAAUCGAUCACAGAGGGCUUCUACAUCAACACCAUAGCCUCUCCGAUGAUGUGUGAGUAGUUUACCACAGACCUUCGGGUCCAUAGUUAUUAGCUAGUCGCUUCUUCUCUCUCUUUGGAUCUCAAUACAAAGUUCUCCUUGAUUCUCUUGGAGAUCUAUUCGAUGUAAUUCUUUUUGCGGUGUGUUUGUUGAGAUCCGAUGAAUUGUGGGUUUAUGAUCAAGAUUAUUUAUGAACAAUAUUUGAAUCUCCUCUGAAUUCUUUUAUGUAUGAUUUGUUAUCUUUGCAAGUCUCUUCGAAUUAUCAGUUUGGUUUGGCCUACUAGAUUGAUCUUUCUUGCAAUGGGAGAAGUGCUUAGCUUUGGGUUCAAUCUUGCGGUGUCCUUUCCCAGUGACAGCAGGGGCAGCAAGGCACGUAUUAUAUUGUUGCCAUCGAGGAUAAAAAGAUGGGGUUUAUAUCAUAUUGCUUGAGUUUAUCCCUCUACAUCAUGUCAUCUUGCCUAAUGCGUUAAUCUGUUCUUAUGAACUUAAUACUCUAGAUGCAUGCUGGAUAGCGGUCGAUGUGUGGAGUAAUAGUAGUAGAUGCAGAAUUGUUUCGGUCUACUUGUCGCAGACGUGAUGCCUAUAUACAUGUCAUGCCUAGAUAUUCUCAUAACUAUGCACUUUUCUAUCAAUUGCUCGACAGUAAUUUGUUCACCCAUCGUAAUACUUAUGCUAUCUUGAGAGAAGCCACUAGUGAAACCUAUGGCCCCGGGUCUAUUUUCCAUCAUAUAAGUUUCCAAUCUAUUUUUACUUUGCAAUCUUUACUUUCAAUCUAUAUCAUAAAAAUACCAAAAAUAUUUAUCUUAUUAUCUCUAUCAGAUCUCACUUUUGCAAGUGGCCGUGAAGGGAUUUAUAACCCCUUUAUCGCGUUGGUUGCAAGGUUCUUAUUUGUUUGUGUAGGUACAAGGCGACUUGCGUGUAGUCUCCUACUGGAUUGAUACCUUGGUUCUCAAAAACUGAGGGAAAUACUUACGCUACUUUGCCGCAUCACCCUUUCCUCUUCAAGGGAAAAACCAACGCAAGCUCAAGAGGUGGCAACACUCUCCCAUCUCGUUGCUAUGCAUCUCCUAGAUAGAUCUUGCGUGAUCAUAUGAUUUUUUUUGAAAUACUGCGUUCCCCAAUAGUUGAUGCUUCUGUGGCUCCUGCUCCUACUGUUGCCGAGGAGGAGGAUGAUUACGAGGGCGAUUACGAGGAUGGGGUUGAUCAAAAUCAGAACUACAUGCGACCACCAACACCACCACCAGGGCGUCCACAUGCAAAUAAUCGCAACAGUAGGGCUGCACCCCCACCUCAGGUACAAUAUCAUGACAAUGUUCCUAAACUAAAACUGAAUAUUCUGCCAUUUGAGAGUAGAUACGUUCCUGAUAUAUAUCUUACUUGGGAGUUAGAAUCUGAACAAUAUUUUACAUGCUUACAAUAUCCUGAGGAUAGACGUGUUGCUGCUACUGUUUGUGCUUUCACUAGUUUUGCUUGUGUAUGGUGGUCUGAACAUUGUAGAUUAUAUCAGGACAAUAUCCCAACUACCCGGGCUGCUUUGAAAAUUGCUAUGCGUACUCAUUGGGUUCCACCAUAUUAUCAACGUGAACUACUUAAAAAAUUGUAGUGCUUAAGAUAAGGAAAAUAUUCUGUAGAGGAGUAUUAUCAGGAAUUACAACUGACAUGAUUAGAUGUGCUAUUGUUGAGGAUAAUGAAUCUAUGCUUGCACGUUUUGUGGGUGGAUUAAAUAGAGAGAUUCAGACCAUUUUAGAGUAUAAGGAUUAUAAUAAUAUCACCCGUUUAUCCCAUCUUGCUUGCAAAGCUGAACGUGAGGUGCAGGAUCAACAUGCAUUGGCGUGAACUAAUUUUUCUGCAGGUCGAUCUUCAUCAUGGACACCACAUACAUCAUCUACUUCCACACGUUCUGCUACAGCACCGCCUACUUCAGCCGCCAACUCCAACUGAGAUGCAAGAAAACAGGCACCGCCACCACCAUCCGCCAAGAGCACACCUUUUGGUCCCGCACAUAGUUCUUCUUCAUCCAUGGAAUCAACAAGGCAAACACAUAAUGUUAUAUGUCGUCGUUGGAAGGGUGGAGGUCACUAUGCUAGCAAAUGUCCAUCUCCGUGUGUGAUGAUCAUUACCGAGGAUGGUGGAUAUGAGUCCACUAGUGAUUAUGAUGAGGAGAGUUUCACUCUUAUUGCUAGUGAAGAGUAGGGUGGACAUGAUUCCGAACAAGAGACGCAAUACAUGGCUGCCGAAGAUGCUGAUAGGUAUGAAAAUUUAGUUGCUCAACGUGUUUUGAGUGUGUAUGUAACACAAGCUGAGCAAAAUCAGAGGCACAAUUUGUUCCAUACAAAGGGAGCUGUGAAGGAACGUUCUGUCUGCGUCAUCAUUGAUGGAGGGAGUUCCAACAACUUGGCUAGCAUGGAGAUGGUGGAGAAGCCGUCUCUCACCACCAGGCCACAUCCUCAUCCUUACUACAUACAGUGGUUCAACAACAACGGCUAGGUUAAGGUAACACGUACUGCUGUGUGCAUUUUAGUAUCGCUACAUAUGCUGAUUAUGUUGAUUGUGAUGUGGUACCCAUGCAAGCAUGCUCCUUAUUACUUGGUAGGCCAUGGUAAUUCGAUAAAAACUCUGUACACCAUGGUAGAAACAAUCAGUAUUGAAAGUGCUAGUUAUCGACUAGAGGGGGGAGGGUGAAUAGGUGAUUUUUAUGAAAGUCUUCAAGACAUGCAGUUAAAUCAAUAACUAAAUAGGAUACAACGGAAGAUAAACUACACUAGCCAUGCAAUAGUGUCAAAGUACAGUACAAGCCAUGCAUGAAGAUAAGUAGCAGCUAGGUAGACCAUAUCAGAAUUGCAAGACAAUAUGAAGCCAAAUAUGCAAUCAGAGUGAAUGUCUUUACACAAUGUCUUUGAAUAGAACAUGCAAGCAAAAGCUUCACGGAGCUAAAUUGCAAGUAAAGGAGUGAAGUGAUAGAACCAGUUGCUUUAAUGAAGACAAGGAUUUGGUAGACCAGUUCCAGUUGUUGUGACAAUUGUACGUCUGGUUAGGGAGGCUGAGAUUGAACUCAGAAGACCAUGUCUUCACCUUAUCCCCUUGAGCUAAGACCCACAGAUCUCGCCCAAUCACUUGGGUAAGUCUUCGAGGUAGAAUUCUAAACCUUCACAGACUUCGUUCACCAGUAAACCACAAUGACUCUUGGAUGCUCAGACGUGAUGCCUAACCAACUGGAAGAUCACAAUUUUAAGUGUAAUAAGUCUUCGGUUCACGCAGAACAGAAAGACUUCAGUGAUGCCAAACACUCUUUGGGCUCUAGGUGUUUUGGGUUUGUCCUCGCAAGGAUUCUCUCUCAAAGGCUUCGGAGGUGGGUUGCUCUCAAACGACAAAAGCCGUGCACUAACUCGAAGCAGCCACCAAUUUAUGGUGGAGGGGUGGGCUAUUUAUAGCCAGGAGGCAACUUGACGUGAUAUGUCCAAAAUGACCCUAGGUCAAUGGACAACCGACACGUGUCCAACGGUCGGAUUUCAAACACACGCGGCAGCUUGACUUGGGCUACAAGUAAAGCUGACUCAUCCAACUCAGGAUAAGAUCUUUUCUCAUUUGUCUUUGCUCGAAGACAUAGGAUUUUGGGUUGAGCAUCACAUUAAUUUCCUGACUUUGUUUACUUGGACCCCACUUAAAAGUUUGGUGGUUCCUAUGACUCAGGAAAGAAGAAAAUGAAACUACGAAAGAAACUACGUCUUCGCACUCUAUUGUCUUCAAGUGAAUGUCUUCACGUGUCAUUAUCUUUGACACGAAUGUCUUCACAAACCACCAAUGUCUUCAUACAUUUUUAGGGGUCAUCUUUUAAACCGAAUCAAUAGGGACUUCUACCUGUGUUCUCGUGUGAAUCUCACAAACACAUUAGUCCCUCAACCAUGUCUGUCAUUGCUACUUCUUGAGCUUGCAUUGAUUUUUCCCUUGAAGAGGAAACGGUGAGGCAGCAAAGUAGAGAUAAAAAUUUCUCUCAGUUAAGAACGAAGGUAUCAAUCCAGUAGGAGGCACAAGCAAGUUCCCAAUAUAUGCACCUGCACAAAGCCAUAAACUAACAAACACUUGCACUCAACACGAAAAAGGGGUUGUCAAUCCCUUCACGGUCACUUGUAAGAGUGAGUAAUAGAGAUAAAUAUAAGAUAAGUAAAAGGCAAAAUAAAGUAAAUAUAAAUAAAUUGCAGCAAGGUAUUUUUGGGUUUUUGGUUUUAUAGAUCUGAAAAUAUAUGAUGGAAAAUAGACCCCGGGGCCAUAAGUUUCACUAGAGGCUUCUCUCUCGAAGAAAGCAUACGGUGGCUAAACAAAUUACUAUUGAGCAAUUGAUAGAAAAGCACAAAGUUAUGAUGAUAUCUAAGUCAAUGAUCAUGAAUAUAGACAUCAAGUCCGUGACAAGUAGACCGACUCCUCCAUGCAUCUACUACUAUUACUCCACACAUCGACCGCCAUCCAGCAUGCAUCUAGUGUAUUAAGUUAACAAGAACGGAGCAACACCUUAAGCAAGAUGACAUGAUGUAGAGGGAUAAACUCAAGCAAUAUGAUAUAAACCCCAUCUUUUUAUACUUAAUGGCAACAAUACAAUACGUGCCUCGCUACCCCUACUAUCGAGGACACCGCAAGAUUGAACCCAUCACAAAGCACCUCUCCCAUUGCAAGAAAAACCAAUCUAGUUGGCCAAACCAAAUUGAUAGAUCGGAGAUAAAUACAAAGCUAUCUUAAUCAUGCAUAAAAGAGUUCAGAAAGGACUCAAAUAAUAUUCAUAGAUAAUCUGAUCAUAAAUACACAACUCAUCCGAUCUCAACAAACGCACCGCAAAAGAAGAUUACAUCGAAUAGAUCUCCAAGAACAUCGAGGAGAACAUUGUAUUGAAGAUCAAAGAGAGAGAAGAAGCCAUCUAGCUACUAGCUAUGGACCCUUAGGUCUGUGGUAAACUACUCAUGCAUCAUCGGAAGGGCAACAAGGUUGGUGUAGAGGCCCUCCGUGAUUGAAUCCCCCGCCGGCAGAGUGCCGGAAAAGGCCCCAGGAUGGGAUCUCACGAGAACAGAAGCUUGAUGCGGCGAAAAAGUAUUUUUGGUGUGCCUCUGACGUAAGGGUUAGGAGAGCCAUGAGGGGCCCACAAGCCUAGGGGGCGCGCCCUCCUGGGGCGCGCCCCUAGGGCUUGUGGCCUCCCCCCGAAGCUUCCUAGGUGUCUUGUUGUCUAAGAGAAAUCAUCAAAAAGUUUUAUUCCAUUUGGUAUUGAUUUUCUUUAGAAGACAAAAACAAGGAAAAACAGCAACUGGCACUGGGCACUAGGUUAAUAGGUUAGUCCCAAAAAUAAUAUAAAAUAGCAUAUUAAUGCAUAUAAAACAUCCAAAACAAAUAACAUAAUAGCAUGGAACGAUAAAAAAUUAUAGAUACGUUGGAGACGUAUCAGUCAUCAAUACUCCAAAACCAACUAGGGGUGGCACUAGAUGCACUUACAAUCUCCCCCAUUUUGGUGAUUGAUGACAAACUGGUUGAAGUUUUCAACGGGGACAAAUAUAUUAAAGUUAAAGAACGUGGUAAUUGGCUUCAUGAGAUUGGAGGGGCUCCCCCUGAAGAUGUGCAUAUAAGUAAUUUGCCUUUGAAUGCAAAUGCACAUGGUAGAUUUUGCUUUGUGGAGAUCUCCCUUUUUUCAUGAAGUCAAAUCAAAGUGCAUAUAGGAAUAAUUUGAAGAUAAUGAUAUGCACAAUGAAAAAUGGGCGUCUACGGAAUGACUGCAUGCACAUAAGAUUAAUCUUGAUCACGCGUACAAAAAGAAAGUGGCAAUGUAGCAGACGUCCCAUCUGGACUUAAGUUUACAACUCAAAACCACAAAUGUUCAAGAACGAGAGUUGUAAGACUUGAACAAAAUACGACACUCGACCCAAAAUGCCCGCUUAAAGACUAUCAACCCACAUGCUUCUCUGUAAGUGCAUCUAGUGCCACCCCUAGUUGGUUUUGGAGUAUUGAUGAAAAACGUGGUUGAUGGACUAAUGUGUUUGUGAGAUCCACAGGAGAACACACGUAGAAGUCCCUAUUGAUUUGGUUUACCCAUCAGAGAUGACCCCUAAAAAUGUACGAAGACAUUGAAGACAAUGGUGGUUCGUGAAGACAUUCACGUCGAAGAGAAUGACGUGUGAAGACAUUCACUUGAAGACAAUGAAGUGCGAAGACAUAGUUGUUUUGUAGUUUCAUUUUCUUCUUUCUUGAGUCUACACUACAAAAAAAGACACAUCCGUGACAUUUUGGGCCCAACGAAUUUUUUUCCUGUCAUACUUAUGACACUUCUAUGACGAUAAUUGUGACAAAGCCCGGUAUCAUCAUAGAUGUGGUGGGGUCCUACUUCUAUGAGAAAAAAUCAUGACAGAAAAUGGCCUUUUCGUCCUGGGCGGGCCGGAGACGCAGCUGCAUGACAUUCUUUGGGCCGUCCAUGAUGGAAAAAACCGUGGUAGAAGCGAGGGCGAGGAAAAUAUCGGGGUGUUUCCGGUUACGGUGGGUGGUCGGGGCCAAGCGAUGCGCGUUUCUCUCGUACACGCACGCGCGUGGGUGCGAGGCGUUUGGCUCAAACUGAACCCGAGCGAGGCGUUGGGCUCUAACUAAACCCGAGCGAUUGCACUGCAGGCUACGCGUUACUGAACCUGAGCGAUCGAUCGAUGGCUGUUAACUGAACCCGAUCGAGCGAUUCCUUCGCUACUGCUGCUAACUGAAGCCGAUCGAUGCUGCCUCUGGAUGAACAGUGAGCAUUGCUGGGAGGGUUUGGAUGAACAGUUCCCGGUAAGGGUGGAUGAACAGGACCCUGUGGUGUUGCCUCUGGAUGAACAGGACCCCGAUCGAUCGAGCCGGUUGGGGCUGGAUGAACAGGACCCCGUGGAGGGCAGGAUGAACAGGACCACCCUGUGCAGGGCUGGAUGAACAGUAGACGGUGGAGGGCUGGAUGAACAGUAGCCCGUGGAGGGGUAGUUGAACAAGAGCCCGUGGAGAGGGCUGGUUGAACAGUAGCCGGUGGAGUAGCGCGCGGUGGAGGCUGGAUGAACAGGAGCCCGUGGAUGAACAGUCGCAGGUGGAGGCUGGAGGAGGUCGACGUGGAUGAACAGUAGCCUGUGGAGGCUGGAGGGGGUCGACGGUGGAGAUGAACAGUAUCCCGUGGAGUCCCGUUUUGCGGUACGCCACGCCCUCCCGAUGAACAGGACCCCCGUUUCGAUCGUAGCGCUCCAACACAAGUCCGUUUCCUCCGUUUUGCGGUACGCCACACCCCUCCCUAUCAACAGGACCCCCGUUUCGACCGUAGGAGGUCCAUUUCCUCCACGUACGCCAGAACCCUCCCAAUGAACAAGAUCCUGUUUCGAACAUGGCCGGUCGAACACAAGGCCGUUUCCUCCGUUCUGCGGUACGCCAGGCCUCGUUUCCAUCGGCUGUUCCGUCCAAGCCCUCCCGAUGAACACGACGACGCAUUCCGUUCCGACCCAGCCGGUUGGCUCCCCAUGAACACGACGACGACGCUGUUUCUCCGUUCUGACCCAGCCAUGUACACGAGCCCUGGCCGUACGUACACGUGAGUAGGCGUUCGAGACCUCGCUUGUAUGUACGUACGUGGCCGUAUUUACUUUCUUGCACCCUGGCCGUUGUACGUAUGUGUACAUGCUACGUACGCGCCUCUACUAUGACACGUGCACGCCUCUACAUCGACCAGUAUGUACGUACACGUUCGCGACCAGAAUGACAACGCUACGUACGCUUCAACCAGGUGGGUCCCAACUGUCAGGCACUUCCUUGCGUGCGAAGAUGUAGCUGGUGGGUCCCAGCAGUCAGGGGGGCGAAUCAUUUUUUUUGCCCGGACGCACUUCCUUGCGUGCGAAGAUGUAGCUGGUGGGUCCCAGCAGUCAGGGGGAAAUGUUUUUUUUUUGUGAAAUACGGUGGCCCGUCCGGUGGGUCCCCGCUGUCAGGUGGAGGAAUAAUUAUUUUGCGCGUAAUAAGGAGGCACUUCCUUGCUGCGGCCGUGGACCCAGCUAUCAGCCUCUCCACGUACAGUACUCUUCCGAUGGAAGCCGUUCCUUGACCACGUUCACCACGCCGCGCCAAGAGCACCAGGGUGGUGGACGACGGCGAGGCCUAGGAAGGGGACGACGCGGAGCCAGGGAAGACGCGACAGUGGAUGCCCACGCGUAGAGGAGUGUGAGGGUUCACUGGUUCGCUGCUGUGUGAGGCUGCCGUCACCGCAGAAUAACAGGGUGUGUGGGUGAGUAGAGGGAUGGCCUGGCCAGCGGUGGAAGUAGUAGGGGGGCGGUGAGGCCUCCGCCGCAUCGCAGCCGGCCACGGAGGCAGGAGCACGAGGCACGACCGGCGCUGGUUUGGGCGGCUGGAGCAAGAAGAGCAGAGGUUGAAGAAGCACUACGGCUGUUGGAUGGACAUCGUACGGUCACUGGAGCUAGAAUCGUGCAUAUUGACUAAGUUGACAAAGCCCUGCGUCCUCGUCAACUUAGUAGGCCCACAAGUGCCUACCACUAUACUGGGUCCCAGCUAGCAGGGGGAGUAUUCAUUUUUUGUGUGUAAUAAGGAGGCACUUCCUUGCAUGCGAAGAUAUAGCUGGUGGGUCCAAGCUGUCAGCGGCGGUAACGUUUUUUUCGCGAAAUACAGAGGCCCUUUCGGUGGUUCCCAGAUGUCAGGUGGAGGAAUCAUUAUUUUGCACGUAAUAAGGAGGCAUUUCCUUGCGUGCGGCCGUGGACCCAGCUGUCAGCCUCUCCACGCACAGUCCACUUCAUAUGCAUGUCAGUCAUUGACCAUGUUGACCAGGCCGCGCCGAGAGCACCACGGCGGUGGAUGACGGCGAGGCCUAGGAAGGGAACGACAUGGAGCCAGGGAAGACUCGGCAGUUGUUUCCCACGCGGAGGGGAGUAUGACUGUACGAGGGUUUACUGGUUUGUCUGCCGUCGCCGAAGAAUAACAGCAGGUGUGGGUGAGUAGAGGGAUAGCUAGGCCAGCGAUGGGAGUACGGUGGGGCGGUGAGGCCUGCGCGGCAGCACAGCCGGCCGCGGGGAGGAGGGAGCAGGCAGUCCCGCAGGCGCUUGUUUGAGCGGCUGGAGCAGGAAGAGCAGAGAUUGAAGAAGCAUGACGGCCGUUGGAUGGACAUCCAACAGUCACUGCUUGUGCGUCAACCUUUUUUUAGGAAAGCCUCAAAUCUGUGGAAAACAGCAUAUAACUCAUCUGCCAUUAUUUCUAAUAAUUUACAGCCCAUUUGCUAAUUCUUAAGGUUUUUUUGGAGCCCAUAUUCUUUUUGUUAGCAUUACAACCCAUAUUGUGGCCACGGUUAAAAAAUUAUACGAAAUUUUGCAUAUUUUGGUGCGGUCCGAACUCUUUUUAAUCCCGAAAUUUCGAGUCACGUUCAAACUGAUUUUAAAAAUAAAUAUAUAUCAAUAUAAAAUCCAACAAAUUGUCCAUGUAUAAAAAUCAAUGCAAUUUAAAAUCUCGAAAUAAAAAAAGAAAUUUGAAACUAAUUGCCGGUUUGAUGUGUUUUAAAAAUGUACAACCCAUUUCUCAUUACUGAUAGGCCAUUUUCUCGGCCAGCCGAAUGAAGCUCUCCUCGUCUUGAAAGAUUUGCAGCCCAACAGGCCUGACAAAGCGACUUACUUGGCAAAUCACAAAAAAACUGGGCUGUGGCUGUGGACCCAGCUGUCGCCGUGGACCCAGCUGUCAGCCUCUCCACGUACAGUACUCUUCCAAUGGAAGUCGGUCAUUGACCACAUUGAACACGCCGUGCCGAGAGCACCAAGGCGGUAGACGACGGCGAGGCCUAGGAAGGGGACGACGCGGAGUCGGGGAAGACGCGGCAGUAGAUGCCCACGCGGAGAGGAGUACGAGGGUUCACUGGUUCGGUUGCGGUGUGAGGGUGCCGUCGCCGCAGGGCCUGGCUAGCGUGGGAGUAGUAGGGGGCGGUGAGGCCUCAACGGCAGCACAACCGGCCACUAGAGGCAGGAGCGGGCGGUCUCGCCGGCGCUGGUUUGGGCGGCUGGUGCAAGAAGAGCGGCGAUUGAAGAAGCAGCAGGACCGUUCGAUUCAAAUCCAACGGUUACUGCUGCUAGAAUCGUUUGUUGACUAAGUUGACAAGCCCUGCGUAUGCGUCAACUUAGUAGGCCCACAGGUCAGCCUCCCAACCGGUGCGCCCCAGAUGUCAGUGGGAGUAAUCAUUUAUUCGCGUAAUAAGGAGGCAGUUGAUUGCGUGCGGCCAGCUCAGCGGAGGGAGUAGGGUGGGCCGGGGAAGCCUGCGCGGCAUCACAGUGGGCCACAAGAGGAGGGAGCAGGCAGUCCCGCCGGCGCUAGUUUAGACGAGUGGAGCAGGAAGAUCAGAGAUUGAAGAAGCACGUCGGCCGUUGGAUAGACAUCCAACAGUCACUGCUGCUAGAAUCGUGUGUUGACUAACAAAGCCUUGCGUAAACAAGUCAGCCUCAAAAUCUGUGGCGUGUACAGCCCAUUUGCUAUUAUUUUUAUAAUUUUUACUCAUUUUCUAAUUCAUGUGGAAUUUAUUGCAGCCCAUUUUCCAUUUUUAGAAUUGCUGCCCAUUUUCUGGUCAGUACCAGGGUUAAAAAAAUAACUAAAUAUGUGGGAAAUUUGAAAAUUCGCAAAUUUUUGCUGGGGAAAAAUAUUCUUAAUCCAAAAAUUAGUAGCCAUACUAAAACAAAUUUAAAAAUAAAUUAGUACUAUGUCAUGUUAAAUCCAAUGAAAUACUAAGAUAUCAGUGAAGAACGAAAACAAAAAAAGAAACUAAUAUCCCAUUUGCUAUAUUUUUUUGGAAUUUUCAACCCCUUUUGAUAUUACUUUUAACAGACACUGACGAUACUCUUUGGCCAGGCCGGAAUGCAUCCCUCCUCGUCUUGAAAGAUUUGCAGCCCAGUAAGUCGGAGAAAACAAAUAGGCCUAGCUUGGGUAUUCUUCAAAAAGAAAUACUGGGCUACCUAUUUUCCCAAAGAAAAAACUGCUGGGCUGGUCAUGUUGUUAGACGGGCCACAGAGACCGUACAACCCAGUUUAUAGCCUGCUCCUCCGAAUUACUACUAAAAAAAGUUGUGCAAUUCUGUCGUUAAUUGACUAUACGUUGAAAAUGAUGUGGGUCCCAGAUAUCAGCAGGGUGGAUUAGAGUAAAAAAACGAGGGGUUCAUCUGAGUAGUAAAAGAGGCGCUUGCUUGUGUUCGGGAGUGGACCUGGUGGGUCCGUACUGUCAUACUCACAACUACAGCCCUCUCCCGAUUCACUAUGUUGACAAGGACCGUUUCAAAGAAAAACUAUGUUGACAGGGCCGGACGGCGGCGCCGCGGCGAGCGCACCAAGGCGGAGGAUAAAGUGCUGUCGCCAAUGUGCUGGGCUGGGUUGGACAUUCUUAUUAAAAAUAAAAAUGGACCGGAUCUAUUUACGACGUUGACUACGAUUUGCAUGGGUCCGCUGGUUGCAGGAAGAAAAUGCUGGGAGAAAGAAGACUGGUCGCUAUCUUUGCCGAAGAAUAAUAUCGACUGAAUGUAACGACACUAUCAUAGGAAAUAAUAUCCUCCUGUUAAAUCGUGAAUUUAAAGAACUGGUGCAUGAGCAUUUAGCUUUAUUUAUUUAUUUACUUAUUUAUGUUUAGGGGACCAUGAGCAUGUACCUGGGCCGGAUUCAUGUGAGAGCCUCCCUUCCAGUUAAUUAUGGGCUUCUCUAUUGGGCCUUCAUCAGUGGGCUGCAUGUUAUCAACAAGUGGAAAAUGUGUUCCGUACGAAAAAUAGUAUGCACUACGUACGGUAUGGGGCACUAAAGGGUCGAACCGUGCAACGACUUCCAAAACAUUGUGUUUGUCAUUCUAACAACACAUUUAUUCAACCAACAGAUGAAAUAUACUACUGAUUGUACAUUGAAAAUAGCAGCAGCAACAACAACCAGGGCUGGGGGUGCAACAGAAGCAGAAGCAGGCCAGAAGAGUGAAGACGCAGCUCUCUCUUCCAAACCAAACAUCAGCCAUCAUUACAAAAGGGCUACCAAAAAAGAACAAGUGUAUGCAUCAAACUAAAUAAAGAUCCUACUACACCAAGUGUACGCAUCUAACUAACUGGCUCAGUUAGACGUUACUAUUUAUUAAGCUGUGGAGAUUGGCUGACGGCUUGAACCAGAUGGGUGCCUGACGGGGGAAACUCCAGCCAGCAGGUCGAAGUCUGAUACUUGCGACCCUCUCUCCUACUUUGGGCUGCAGAGCGUGGCGGCACAUAUCAGGGUAUGGUGCAUGCAGAGACGCAUGGUACGAUGUGUACACACAGUUUUGCCAGAUGAACGAAACCGCGCUGCCAUCAUGAUCCUUGCCGUCGGUUAUCUCCUGGUUAAUCAGAUAAUUCAGUCCGACAAACAGAGAGCGUGUACCAAGGCUACUUACCAACCUCCAGUCAAAAAUUCCUGAAGGCCCAGAGAAGCUGGGAUCCUGCUCAAAGACCUUGCAGUGACUGUGAUUGUAUUCCGCGAAACAACACGUCCGGUACGUGCGAACGAUUGCGUCUGAUCGAGCCAGGAACCACCUGCAACUGCCAUGCCGCUUUUCUUUGAAAGGUUCUGGGAUUAGGAAGGGUAGGGACACCAUGCGGCCUACAACAUCAUAUCAAGUUGGAGUCAAAUAACCCUCAAAAAAAGUUGGAGUCAAAUAAAAAAGGGCUCUUGAUAGGCGACACUGCGGUUGAAGAACGCAAUUAGCCUGAAGUCCUUAUAAUUCGCAGAUCUUGUGGGCACUUGGUAGAUUACAACCUUGAGCAAAUCAAACUUGGUAUGAUGUUGGCUACUGUAAGAUUCCGAGUAUUCUGGGCCGCGGUGCCAAAGCAGUGCAGUGUUAAUCGAAGGAAGGGGGAUCAAUCGCCGGGUGUAGACCUCCACGAGCAUCCAGUUGUCGCGACCGUCGACGAGCACCAUCCAAGACGUGUUCAUGCCAACCCAGUACAUACCUUUAAUGUAGUUGAGGGUGACGGGGAUCGGAUCGCAGUCAAGGGGGUUGAUGCUCGCCACCCUACGAUCGUUAUGCUGCGUCACAUGCCAUUUCUGAAGAUUAGGCGGCAUCAGCAAGCAAGGAGCUGGCUUAAAAAGCUCCGGCCUGAGGGCUUUGAGGAAACGGUACAGCCCCGAUGAACACGCGGUGAGCGGCAUGGUACUGAGAUUGUCCACACGCGAAACAAUGAGCUUGAUUACCUCUGUGGGGAGCAAAUUCCAGCCACUCUUUCAGCGGACGCUGCUCGGUUCUGCCAUUGUUAGUGCUUGGGUUUCGGACGAGGGGGGGAGGCGCCUUAGCAGGGAUGGAAGAUUGGAUAGGGGGGAGGCGCCUUAGCGGGGAUGGAAGAGCGGACAAACAUGGAGAAGAGAAUAUGUGCUGCGGGAAGUGGACAGGUGAUGAUGACUACAGCACGCCGCUUGACUUACGAGACACAUACUAGCGUAGGGUCAUAUCGAAGUCAGACAACUUGCUUGAGUGAUCACAGUAGUGGUACUCCCUACAGUACCUGCUACUAUGCCCUAACUUGCUUGAGUAGAGUAGUAGGAGUAAUGGAGUAGGACUCUGCUCUACUACUAGCACCGGAGGAGUAGUAUGUUCUAAUCUAAAAUAGUUACAAACUUCAAUGCCCGAGCGUGGAACGACUACGAACCGCCAUCGGUGCUAACUCCAAUCCUGCAAGUCAUGGAUUUGUUUCUUUUUAACUUUCUGUACGAAUCAGUAGCCAGCCUGCAAGUCAUGUACACUGUACUGACAGUGGAACCCACAGAGUACUUAGAAUACAAGAUUAAGGAUGCAAUUAACUUUUUAUAGAGGGAGAAUCAUACACGCAAUUAACUCAAAUGGAUUGGACAUGACUCUAUUAUUCUCCAACGGCAACCGACAAAUUUCCUCCCGCGGGCCGGAGUAGGUUUCUCGGUUUGCAUGCUGGUUUAACGGAGGGGUUUGAUGGAGGCGAGGAGGCGUGUUCAGCCGGGCGUGCAGUGAACGGCGCAGUACUAUUCGAUUUGACAACUACAACUAGUAUAUUAUAAAAAACAAAGAAGAGUAGUAGAGAUAGAGAUAAGAAUAGAGACUAGGGAGGAGCACCAUCUACUGCUUCGUGGGCUACUCCUGUGCUCCAUUUGGCGGCCGCAACGUCCCCUACAGCCACUCCCUCCUGCGCUCCAUUCGGCGGGCGCUGUUGAAAUUUGGGGAGCGCACUCUCGCGACUGCUAGCAGCGACGACUUCACCGACAAUGACUUCUUCCCCGACCUCGGCAACCUCUUCCUCAACGACAUGGGCGACAACCUCAAUGCCAAUGGUGCUGCUCCCGUUGCACCGUAUGUGUUUUUGUCCUUCCUGUGCGAAAUCGUGGUAGAAUUCAUGUUUCUAGUCUGUGUCCUAGAUUUGAUCUGUUCAUCUACUAUGCUAGUCUGCAUGAUUAGUUUAAUCUCUGUUAUAGCCGUCAUGAUUUAUUUUGUAGUAAAUCUCGUAGUAACUUGCUCAUAUAUUCAACUGGCGGAACGUCCCUAUAGCCACUCCCGUUUCAUGGACGGCCUGGUCGAUGCCUCCAAGGAGCCCUUCGUCUACUGCUAUGAGUGCCAGGUGUCGUUUUGGGGCUCGCCGGCGGACAUCGUGCAUCACCUGACGCAGGCGUGCGGCGAUCACUACUGGCCCUUGGCGAAGAACAUCAAGUACGAGACAUGCUUCCCGUUCACCGUGCCAGAGUCGCUGGAGGAUCAGCGCCGCCUGCUAGUCUCGGAGGAGGAUGACAGCGUCUUCCUCUUGAUCGUGGCCACCGGCGAGGCCCGCACAGGCCGCCGCCACAUUCUGUAGUGUGCAUCUGGGGCGACGCCGCUGACGCUGACACUGACACGAGGCCGAUGUACGGGUGCGUGCUCACUAUUACUACCCCUCGGAGCUACGUGGGCGGCGGCACUGGCUACGUCAAGCUGACUUGGACUCUGCCGAGCUGGGACCUUCCCACCAAUGUGGACAUCGAAGACACACGGUAUUAUUUGACCCCCAACAAUGUGCACGGGGACUCCAAGGAGGUUCACCUGGACAUCUACAUUAUCAAGUUAAAUGUUGAUCAUUAGUCUUCGCUCAAUGUAAUCCGCUGUCUAAGCAUGUGGAGACUUCCAUGCAUGAUCUUGCUCUAUUGGAGUAUCGCGCAUGAAUAAAAGUGUAUCCAUUUAUGAUUUAGUCUAGAAUCUUCCAUGUAUGAUUUUUACUACAGUACUAGUGAAAGACUUAUGAUGAACCAUUUCUUACAUAUCCUCCGCCCCCUUCCAAGUCAUCCUGAUUUAAUCCCUCCGUCUAGGUGUAUAAGGGCAUGGUUAAUACUUAAAUAGUAUAGCCAACUGUUGACUAUAAGAAAGUGCCAUGUCAUCUGUAGCCAACAUGUAUAACAAUGGAUACUCAAAAACUAAUUCUUGAAGAUCAUUUCCUGCAAAGCACAAUAAGAUUUAUUUCUUCACAAGUUUUGGAUGCAGGUUGAAUAGUUGAACACUUUUGUUUGCAAAAGAUACUUUUUUUUAUCUAUUUCACCCGGAUGUUUGUGAGCUCUAGAGAUGAAAUAAUAUCCGAACAAACCUAUCGAUACCCGUUACACAUGAGAUGACCCCCACAUCCUUUGUCAAAAUAAACAACUCCCCGAUCAAUGCAUUUCACUCUUCCGUGCAAUGCACGGGCACCUUACUAUAGAUUAGUACGACCAAAAAUUGAACUAACAUUAUAUAUUGUACGAUAAAUGAUGAUGCAUGUCACCUAAAAUUAUAUCAUUGAAAACUAUGUUCAAAUACGAAUCCAACGAUAUUGUUUUUGUUGACAUGCACUAACAUUUUGUCAGUUAAAUCUACAGUCAAAUUCAAUGGGGGAUAAACCACGACCAAUGUAGUAGUACUAGUGUAGAGGGCGGCACUGCACGGGAGUCUCACCCCGCUCGUGGCGCGGCAGUAAAGCCGUCAUAUCACAAAACCCAACCACUCCGAGUAAUAAGUGGCCUGGUAAAAUAAACGGACAAGCAACCAUCACAUCCCUCCGUCUUUUUUGCAUUUCAUCUCUCUGCAUUUACUUUCUCCCGUUCAUCUCGCACACUCGAUCCCUAGCUACUACUCCUAGGGCCAGUUCUUUUGGCGGCUUCCCCAGCUUUUCCCAUAAGACUAGUCACAGUGGAGAGUAACAUUAAGGCGCCUCACUCAUUUAUUUGGGCUUCUAAACUACUACUAGUAGUACCUCCAUCCUGGUUUAUUCCUCACCAUUGUAAUUUGUGCUAAAUUUUCACCAAAGAUUUAACUGAUAAAAUGUUAGUGCAUGUGACAUGCACUGACAUUUCAUUAGUUAAAUUUAUGAUCAAAAUUUGACACAGAUUACAAUGGGCACCAAUAAACCAGGACGGAGGUAGUAGUUAUGGGAUUACUAAUCUAGAAGCCUAAAAGAACUGGCCCCUGGUACUCCUACUAGUAGUAGUACUCAAGUUGGAAAUCCCAAUUGCACGUCACAACUUGUUAGGGAAAAAAUUCGAUACAGGGUGUAGGAAGCGGUUUGGGAAUUUGCAUGCCUUUUCGACCAGUGAGAUACUCCGUACAAAGUACGACAGAGAAAUAACCACAGAGAAGGAAGCUAAAAGUAAACAAUCAAACGAGCAUUUUUGCAUUUGUUUUGCAUUGAACCGUUUCACAAGCUUGACUAGUGCUGUUUUUCUACUUUUACAAAAACCGCAUCGUAAUGUUAAAACGUGCAUUUGCACAUACAUAAGUAAUAGUAGUACUCCCUCCGUCUAGGUGUAUAAGUCUUCCCUCCUUCUUGCUCACGGUGCACAACCAAAGAUGACUUAUUGACCUGGACGGAGGGAGUAGCACAGUCUGCAAGCAUAUAUAGAGAGAGACGUGUAGUGUGAUAGUAUAUAGUAAAGUUUGUGCUAUAUGCACGUACUUGCAAAAUGCGUACGAAUACACAAGGUUUCCAAACUUUCCCUUUUACAUACUUAAUAAAGGAUGCUAAUAAUUCCUGGACGUUUGGGAUUUAUCAUUUGCGUCCCAAAACUAAUGAGACCGCCUUACGAAACAAAAAUUAUACUCCUACUAAAAGCCACGGCGCUCGCAGGAGCGCUUGCGGCGCGCCACGAGUGCCCUGGUGCGCGGCCGUUUCCCAGCGCGCCGACACAACGCCUCUUCCUCAGCCUCGCAACUCAUGAGGUGCUGAUUGGCGGCUUGCGGGAGGGCGAGCGCGAUCUCACCGGUGUGGUGAUCCGGCGCCAACAGGUACUCCUCCUUGCUGGAAGCGUGCACCCGGUCCAUGUAUCGCCAAGCGUAGAUGAGGCGCUUGGGCCCGACUGCACUCAGGGCGUCGACACGGGCGUCCUCCGCCACCCUCACGGCCCUCGCACGAGCCUUCUGCCAAAGAGCCAAUUGCCUGACAAUCUCGGACGCGACAUAGGCCUCCCAGGCAGCUCGUUCCGCGGUGCGCUUCUCUUCCUCGACCUUCUUCUCCGCCUCUAUUUUGGCGCGCUCUGCUGGAGGCAAAGCCUCCCACAAGGCGACAUCCAUUUCUUUCCAAAGCUCCUCAAGGCUGGGGGGCUCGGCGGGCGGCGCGACGUUCUCCUCGUAGCGGGGAGCCGACGCGUCCUCCGACACGUGUGCUGGCGAGAUUGGGAACGCCGACGCGUCCACCUCAACGCAUCAUGGCGAGGAGUGGAACGCCGACGCGUCCUCCUCGACUAGUGGCGGCGAGGAACGGAACGGCGACGCGUCGCGUCGCGGCGAGGAGCGGAACGCCGACGCGUCCUCCUCGACUAGUGGCGGCAAGGAACAGAACGGCGACGCAUGACCAUCUACGCGGUGCAGCGAGGGGCGCCUAGGGCUUGGGAGGGGCGAUGCCAUGGUGGUUGACGUGAGAGGGAGGGGGAGGAAAUAGCGAUGAACGUGAACGUGAGGGGGAGGAGAUAGCGAUGUCAUGGAGGCGCAGUAUUUAUAGUGAGCAAUGGCACACCUAUGUAAGAUAUGGACUGAGCUGCACUGACUUAACUGCAGGUCCAGUUGCGUCACUGACAUGUGGGCCAGACCCCUGUUGGGCCCAUAUGUCAGUGACCCAAUGCACCUGCAGUUAAGUAACAGCUACGUGGGCAUAUUUGUUGGAAUAAAUUACGGGGGAGGGAAGGGGUGGAAAUAUUGCUGGUCACAACAGAUUGGACGAGCGCAGGGGGAGGAGAGUCAUGCAUGCAGAUUUUUUCCACACGGGGUGGAGUGGUGGGACCGCCGGAGGGAGAAGGAGAGUCUGGCAGGCAUAUUUUUUCCAUACAUGGAGAGGAAAAUAUUUGGAGACGAACGGGCUUCCUGCAGGUAUGGGGAACAGUGCAUAAUAAGUCUCAUCUUGCAUGCCGGGCUAGGUAUAGUCUCAAGUCAUUAAAAACAUACACGCCCCACACAUGUUCAUAUUUCAAGGUGCACUAAAUUAUUGCAUGCGAUGAUUAAGGCUGGCCAUAAUGGUGGUAUCUUAGCUGGUAUCAUGCACACGGGAAUAGCAAACAUGCUGAUGUGGCAAAGAAUUAAAGAAGAGAGGGGGGUUAGAGUAACUAGUGUUCAUGCAUGCAUUGUGAAGAACUACAAAAACUAUUCCACCGCCUCUAUCUUGCUAAGAGUAGGUGAAAAUUUUGAAUCGAGCCCUUUAAACUAGAAGGGAGGUAGUAGUACUCUAAUAGCUAACCUUGGCCCUGUUUGGAUCCAUGUGUUAGAGUUAGUUUGGGUUAGUUUGAACUCAACUAACCCAAAAAAAUCUAACCCACCCAAGAGGUGCUUAUUUGGGUUACUCCCUCCGUCUAGGUGUGUAAGUCAUCUUACGUUGUGCACCGCGACCAAGGCGGAGAGGAAAACGAGAAAACUUAAUGUCUUUUUGCUAAUUAAUAGCAUUGCAUGCAAUGAACUAACCACUGCAUGUCAUGUUUGGCAGUCUCAAGUCAUUGAACGCAUGCACGGCUCACAUCUCUUAUUGGUUGAUAUGUCACAAAACAAGAAACGAGGAGGGAAUUAAUGUACGGUGCCUAAGUGUUUUGAGAUUAUUUGGUUUUCGUAAGGUGACUUACACACCUAGACGGAGGGAGUAGUUCUUCUCGGGACACUAAAAACACAUUUUUCUCUCGCUCUCCCCACAGCAGAUCCCUCCCCACUUCCUCGAAGCUUCUCGUCCUCUCCCUCCCUCCCUCCCUCGCGCACCGCCCAUGAAGGCACCUCGUUGUAUCCGCGCUCCAUCUAACCCUGUCAUCCAAACACCUCUUUCGCUAGAGUUACUUCAGGGUUAGUUCAUGAUUAGAAUCUUUAACUCAUCUAACUCAUCUAAUAGUAGUUCUUAUACUCAUUAUAAUCAGUAUUGUAGAUAUUGAUAUUUUUAGUAUAAAUUUGAUCAAACACUUUGCAAACGGUUGACGGAAGUAAAAAGGACCAGAGGGAGUAUCAUGCAUGCGGAGUAGGCAAAAAAAUUGCUCAUUUAUAGCCGGUCGAAGUCUCAAAGGGCGCGACCGCGCGAGGGAGGCGAAGGUCGUGGGAGGCGUGACGGUUGAUGGAAUUAAGUGAAGUUACCCACGCGCCGGCAUGGCGUGCGAACAGGCAGAAGCUAUACCGUCAGGCCUAGGAUAUGGGUCUAGUAGACAUGACAUCUAGUGGGUCCCGAAUAGUUCUCGAGAACUCUUUGGGGGCUUGCAGCCGUUUAUCCACCGGGCAAGCCAGCAACCCCACGCCGUUCGCACGCCCUACUCGUCCCCGUCUUCUACUAGUACAGUACCUUACAACAGUUUGCUCCCAGUCGUCCCGUCCUUUCACAGUACACCAGUUCAACUUCUCCUAACCCUCCUUCAAAAUCCAUGGCCUCCCAAAUCUCCAUGGUCGCCUCUGAGUACCAGGUUAGAGCCAUCACCGGCGAUGAGUUCUUCGUCAUCUACACACGUGGAUCCGUGACGGUGAAAGCAUGCCUUGCUCGCUUCCUACGCAUGUUCAACAGUUUGAACAUCUCCAAGUCGUUCACCUGUGGUCCUUCCGAUUUUCAUUACUGAAAACCAACAUCUAAAUUUAAACCAUAGUAUUUGCCCUAUAACUACCAGGUUCAACAUCUCGCAACAUAAACCCAUACAACUAUACGCCAAGGAGGUACGUAGUACUAUGAAUUCCAUUUUCGCUCCAUACCAAUCGUUCUAAAAACUACUUAGUACUUAUAACGCGCCAUUGAAAAUCGGAACUCUUAACCCCCCCUAAAAAAUGAUAUUUUAAACAUGGCUACUCGAUCUGUGGCAACUGGCGAGCCACCACCUCCAAGUCGUUCACCUGUGGUCCUGACCAUCAACUCCUACGGAUCAAAUUAUCACGCGAGCUGACUAUUCCUACAAAGGUGCGCUCCACCACGUACCCGGUACCCGCGAAUGCAGCAAUCGUGCACCUAGGGUUUUAGGGUUUAUUUGUUAACAUUGCCUUUACGUAACACUCGUGUGUGCGAGACAGCGAGAGACCGACUGCGUGCGUGCGCCUCUUCUCUUCGUAUAUGUACUCCAACGUUUGUCUGGUGUCCAAAAAAUUAUAAUAACUACUAGCAAUGUGACAAUGCGCUGCCACACGAUCUGAAUAGAUCAAUCAUAUUCACCGAUUUGGUAGAAAAAAGUCUAGUUUUGAAAUACGUAUAUCACUAAAAAAAUGUUAUGUUUCACUCAAAAUAUAUUCCUUUGGCGGUUUUGAUGAGAUAAGGGAGGAAUGUUGUUGGUUUCAAGAUUCGAGAAGUGGUAUAUGUCUAAUUUCUACUCUUACUAGCAAGAUGCCCGUGCAUUGCACGGAACAUCAAGAUCUUGUGGGAGAAAAGGAUGAACGAGGGAAGGCCUUAUCUGCAAAUGUGGAGAGGAGUGCGGGUAAAUUGCCAUAGUUUCGUUCCUAUCCGUCAGAUAUAAAUCGGACGGCCUAUAUUGCAGGAUGGCAGGCCCACCAUCAUCACCAACUCUAUUUUUUAUCCCUACUCUUAUAAAAAGCAUAGUCGGUGAUGAUCGUGUGCCUGCCAUCCUGCAAUAUAGGCCGUCCGAUCUAUAUCUGACGGAUAGGAAGGAAACUAUGGCAAUUUUGCAAAAAGAUACCCACACCCCUCUCCACACUUGCAAAUAAGGCCUUCCCUUGUUCAUCCUUUUCUCCCACAAGAUAAACAACUCAUACAGAUGCAUCUUCAUGUUCCGUGCAACGCAUGGGCAUCUUGCUAGUUGUUGCAAAAAGCCCAUGUGAGAGAGAGAGAGGGAGAGAGGAGGAGGACGGAGUGCAUGUGUGACAAAGACAUAAAGAGUGUGUGUGCGAGAGGUAUCAGCUUAAAAUGAGGCAGUAGUGUGUGUGUGCACGAUCGAGAGGGCGUGUCUCAAGAAGGGAAGAAAAAUCUACAUAGAUACAAGGAGCGGGAGAGAGACAUGUAUGCGAUAGUGGAAGCACGAGUGUGCGGGUGUAUAAACCUAUCUAGAGGCUAGUCGAUAAAUGUUUGUGAGAGAAAUACGAGUCGGGGUGCGAAAGCGAGAGUUUUGUGUGUGAGAGAGAGAGACGGUAGUCGGGAAGGGGAGUGGAAGCAGGAGUUGUGUGUGUGUGAGAGAGAGAGGGGGCGGGGAGUUUGUCUGAUCGGUAAACAAAUGAAUAAUGUCAGUCUGGGAUGGAGACGAAAAGGAGACCGCAACAAAUGUUGUGUCUACAGGAGAGAGAGAGAGAGAGAGAGAGUAAUUUUAGUGGUAUGAUUCAUAUCUAGAGACAUAUAGGGUGUGUGAGAGAAUCCCAUAGAGAGAAAGACAAAGUGAAAGACGAGUGCAGACUGUGUGUGUGGCGGUGAAAAAUAAAGCUUAGGUACCUAGUGAUACGAGAGAACGGUAGAGACGUGAGAGAUAAUGAAAACCGUGUAAUGUAUAAUGAUAGGGAGAGUGUGACACUUCUCAAGGGAGACGUCGAGAGACCAUGUUUGCGAGGAUAGGAGAAACAUGAAGUGAGCGUGCGGGUGAGCUGGAGAAAAGAGAGUGAUAGCUACAUGAAGGGGCAUGCAUGCAAGAGAGAUGGGCGUGAAAGGAGUGAACAUAAAAGGGAUUCAAAUAUUUCAAUUCGAGAUGAUGAUACAUGUAAUCCAUACUCGAACCAAAAUUGAUCUAUCAAACAUGCAUACUCAUAUGAAUUCACGCGCAUCUAUGUUAUUUAAUAUGUAGAUAUUACUGAUCCAUACAUUUUAGUAGAACAUAAUUUGGUUUAAUUUUUUGAAUUCAACCUUAUGAUUUUGAGAUCAUUGUAUUUGUAAAUCAUAUUAUACAUAUACAGGAGCAGAAUUCUUUGUUGUGCUUUUGAAAGUAUAUAUAAAAAAUGAUGUAUAUAGAAUUUUAUUCCAAUCGAAAAUGGAUCCCGCCCGAAAAAAAUAGAAUACAAACGGGAUUCGAAUUGAGUUGGCACGGUAAACGUGCACUCUGCAAAAUUUGAACGAAGCGGGGAAAGUCGCAGUAACCGCCCGAAACCAAAAUCUGCGAGAUGGAAAUUACUACUGCCUAUCCCUGCCACGCAAAGCCUAUCUGCUCGAUUUCUAUAGGUUUCGAUAGGGUUAGGUUUGUAAUUUCACUCAAACGUGACAUAACCGCCUCUCACCCGGAUUCAUACACGGUGGGCGCCAAAACACAGUGUGUCCUCGGCCGAAAUCGACUCCCUCCCCGAUUAAUACAUGGUGGGCGCCAAAAACAAACUCUCGUCGGCAAAUAUUCGGUGUAUGGGAGAUUAUCGUCCUAUCCCCAACCGACUAAUAUUGCUGUGAUGUAGGAAAUUUGAAACGGGGGCUAAGUUUGUAAAUUUCCUCGCAUUUGAGACAAGCGCGCCCUGAAGACAUGGUUCCCCCCUUCCUCUCCACCUCCAUCUCCCCAUUCGUACUCCGUGGGCGCCAAAACACCCUCUCCACCCCAGCCUCCUCCGUCCGCCACCCCAUCCACCGCCGUCCUCCUCCACCAUGCCGGAGCUGAUACCCCGACGCCGCCGUCCAUUACAAGAGAUCGACCUCUCUCAUCCACGGCUUCGGACCGGGAUCCUUGCAUCCCGUCCUCUCGCUUCAUCCCCGCCGUCGUCCACCUUGCCGGCGCCGCUCCUACGACCGUCUCGUCCACUGCGCCCCGCAGCCGCCGUCUACCCUCCUAGAUCCGCUUCCACGCCACCGACAGCCAUCGCUACCGCAGCACCGUCAAAUUCUGAGCAGAUGCAUACACGGCGCCGCACCAGAGGCGGUACUCUUUCGUAUCUGCUCAACUUAUUUAUCGCAGCAAGAAAAUAGAUCGCCACUGCUUUACUCCUAUUUCUUGUCCAUCACUUACUUUCUAGUUGAGAGCAAACAUUGGUUGAGAAGUUGCCUUUGUCCGGUUUGCACCUUCAGAUCCGCCAUGGCACGCUCAACACUAUACUCCCAAUGCUUAUGGUUUUCCCCUUUUAUAUUCCACACUAGUUAAAUCACAGUAGACUAAAUUUCAAAAUUGGGUCAGUCGAUUUUUUCAGAGCUCGCCGGAGUUCGCCGGUGCGAACGAAGGGGCUUGGGUGGGGACUUUGGUUGUGGGGGGCGGUGGUGGGGCCUCGCCGAACGAAGAAAACUCGACGCGGGUGGGGGUGGCGGAGGAACACAGGCGGUGGGGGGCGAUGGUCCGGCCGGUGGCCCGUGCGGUUUUCUGUAUGGGAAGAAUCAGAGACGAGGAAGAAGAAGGGUUAGGAGACGUAGGAUCUUCAUCCAACCGCCUGAAAUGGUCGACUGACCCAAAUGCAGACAUGCCUUUAUAUUCAGUACCAUCAUCGUACCUGCUUAGCACUGCUCCUGAAUCCAUCAAACUAAACAACGUGCCACUCAUAAUUCCAAACUUGUUGCUCAAGAACGAAUCUGAUAUGAUGCUGAUAUUACUAAAAUAGAUAACAUUUAACUCGUCAGCUAAUGUUCCUACUUUACUUUCAAAAAAGCACGUGCACCACAUAUAGAGAGACAACAGGGAGUUGCUUUCUUAAUGCGCUCUGGUUCAUCAUGUGUGGGCACUGCGCAACAAACAUUUUAUUAUCCAAAAUCUGCUUGCUCUUCUUUAGCAUGUUCCUAAAUACAAGUCUUUGUAUAGAUUCCACCAUGGACUACAUAUGGAGCAAAAUGAGUGAAUCUACACUCUAAAAUGUAUCUGGAUACAUCUGUAUGUGAUCCAUGGUGGAAAUCUCUACCAAGACUUAUAUUUUGGAACGAAGGGAGUAUGAUAGUAGUACAGUAUGUUCCUUGUAGUGAAGAUGAGCAGGGACAUUUGCAGUGUAGAGGUCUAUACGGUCGGUUGGUAUGGACACUUUGAACUCUUCGGGCCUCUUUGAUUCGUAGGAUUUUGUAAACAUGGGAAUAGGAUUUGUAGUGGCCUGCCCACUUGAAUCCUAUAAGAAUAGCAAGGAAAUGUGAGGAGCUGUGUCGCCUUUGAGAGUUACACUGAUAUUAACAGUACCGCACCUUCAUUUGAAGAGAGCUCGUAUUCGAAGCCUUUCUAGCCGUACCGGCAAUACUAGCACAUAUAUUCCAGCAAGUUCCACUUUGCUAAUUUUACUCUGAUGCUUACGGUUUUCCCGUUAUAUAUACACUAUGAUCUGUGUAGCUGCUUUGUGUCGCACUAGCAGCAGUCCACUCUUGAAGCUAAACACUGCAAUGACUUACAAAAUUGGCACCAAGGCAUUGAGUGCCAUUCUGGAUGCAAUGAAACUCAUAAGCUCCCCACCUGUUGACUCUUGUUCAGAAUAUGAUCCUAAUGACUCCUGUUCAAAAUUGCCACAUAUAGAGAGACAGCAUGGAAUUGCAUUUCUUUGGGCGCUGUGAUUCAUCAUGAGUGGGCAACCAACAUUGUAUGCAAUUAAGCGGAACCUCAAGAAUAUGCUUCCUCUUCUGUUCUUUAACAUGUUCCUCUUUUGUUAUUCUGUAUUUAGUACGUACAGUAUGUUCCUUGUCAGGAAGGGGAGUAGGGACAUCUGCAGUCAACAGCUGAUAGAGCUGGCAUGUACUUGAUUGAUAGGCUUUCAAUUACUAGCGGCAAUACAACACCAUAUUUUCAAGCCAGUUCCACUUUCCCGAUUUAUAUAUCGUGGUUAUGGUGUACCCCUUUUAUGUACACUAUGAUCUGCCUAGUUGUUGUGUGCUCUUGUUAUCAUGGUUUGGCAAUAAACUCUCUAUACAAUAUAUUUUGAACCUAUCAUCUGCCAACUAUCCUUACUUAUGGAGCCUAUUUUUUGUGUACUUGUGCCAGAUUAUAUAAAUGCACGCACCAUAUUACAGCACACAUGAGCUCUCUCAUCAGAAUCCAGUGAUAGCACACAAGUGUUUACAGGGGCACCCCUAUAUUAGAAUAUCCUCUGCAUUACAAAGUUAAUCUCACAACUAUUUAUGUUUUCAUGGUUCUCAGAUAUUAUACGUAAUUACAGUGAAUAUCUGAAUCCGCGCAUCAGAAGAAUAUUGUGGAACACUGCAAUGACUUACAAAAUUGGCACCAAGGCAUCGAGUGCCAUUCUGGAUGCAAUGAAACUCAUACGCUCCCCACCUGUAGAUUCUUGUUCAGAAUAUGAUCCUAAUGACUAUUCUAACCUCGAGGAGUCAAAGGCAGAUGGCCUGUCAUGUUCACCCAUCAAGGUGCCUGCUCUAAUUUGGCAAGGUUUUAUUGAUUGCGCGUAUCUUGCAUAUGUUGUCUUGCAUUUCUUCUACUUUGUUGCACCGCCAUCUGCUUAGUUUACUCAUCAUAUAUGUCGAGAUGCCAUGCCCAUCCAUUAUCAAUACAUAUUCCAUCUAUCAUCAUACCAUGUUUUUCCACUCAAAUGUUGUUCUUGUGCAUCAGACAUCAAAAAGGAAGAGGGUGAUUGCCGAACCUGAAGGAGCACCAGCAAAGUCCUUGAAAAACGUGGUUGUGCCGGAGAAAUCAGACAGCACCCCACUUAUAUUGGUUGUACAACCAGUGACACAAAACGUAGGACCGACUCCAGCAGACUGUACCCAUACUUCACUGGCCACACCACUAGCCCCACCACACAGGACCUGCACUCCAGCAAAAGGUAUGCAGAUUUCAAUUGCCAUAGCACCAGCCGUACCACAGAAAAAUCCCACUCCAGCAAAAAGUACAGCAAGCCCACCGGCCGAAGACCUAUCCCAACUGCAGAGACGGCCAAUUCCUGCAGAUUGGAACCCCAUUCCAGUUAUUCCCAGUUUAAAAGACAAUGCUUUCAAAGUUGUUAGGGACUACGUGCAUAUAUUCCCAUCAUUAGAAGAUUAUAGUGAAGACAAACACCAUUUUCACAUCUUCCUGUCCCAGUUACGUGUAAGUGCUAUUACUCAUGGUGAUUAUUUUCCUGUUUUCUGCUGAUUGAACACAUCAAUGAUUUACAUUACAUUGUUGUAAGUAGGUGAGGGUCAAUCUGGAUAGUCAUGACGAGCAAAGCUUGCUUGCGCUUUUCAAGGAAGCAUUGCAGCAGUAUUGGUGUUACCUGAGGAAAUCACACUUUGAUGGCAAGUCUAUAAACGAAUUUCUGGUGAAGUCUCAUGUGCUAAAUUUAGAAGACAUUGAAUGGAAAAACCUUGUUAUGCACUGGUCUUGUUCCGAGGAUGAGGUACUGUCUAUGAUGUCGCAUGACAAUUUGAACUUCUACUUUUCCGCAUGUGCCUUACGGAUCUUUUUUGCAGGAAAUCUGCUCGAAAAAGAAUUCCGGUUUGAAAAGAACGACAGGAUAUCGCAAAUAUGCUGCCCGCUACUUUGCUCUUGUUAGUACCUGUUGUCUUGUAUCACUGUACUUGCAUACAUACCUGGUUCAUUAUGUGACAGCAGUAUGCAUGAUAGCUUGCUUAUCAAUUGUUCGCUCCAAAUUAUCUGAUCUGUAUGAAUGGUUACAUUAGUGUAGAAUAUAUCCAAUGCCAAUGAAAUUUUUUAGCUCUGCGUUGUUCUUGUAAGUACCUGCUGUCCUUAUCAAUGUACUUAUAUUGACAGGUAGUUGUUCAUGUACCAUCACUCUGCAGCUUAUUUUCCUUUGCCCUCCAUUUUCUACACAUAAGAUCUAUAUUUACUCUUACCAUAAGGUUGGAUAACACCGAUGGUACUGAAGAAGUUUAGCUCUACAUUGCUCUUGGCUGUACCUUCUACCUGUAUCGUCGUACUUACAUUUAUAGCUUUGGUUAUGUAGCAUCACUCUUCAUCUUAUCUUAAAUAUUCUCCAUUUUUUCUUAUAUUGUCACAUCUAUAUUUACUCUUAACAAAAUGUAGAAUAAAGGCAAUGCUUAUGAAGAAGAUUCUGUGGUAAACUUCUUGAAUUCCCCCCCCCCCAUCAGCAUGGACAAGGGCUUUAUAGAGCCUGCCUUCACCAAUAAUGUAAGUUUGUCCUUCUCAAGCCUUCAAACUUUGUUGUGUAUAUUUGGUUAGGCAUGACUGCAACAGCUGUUUAUUUUUGGUGUUUGCAUCAAAUUGCGUGUUUAAAGUUUAUUAUGUACUCCAGUUCAUAAACAAAAGUUUGUCCUUCUCAAUUUAAGUUUUCAGUUGUACGACCAAGUUCCUUCUUCAUACCAUGUAAAUUAAACUAUACAGAGCAAGUGAUCUUAUUUUGCCAAUCUGAAAUGGGAUAAAUUAACAGCACACUAACCAUUGAUACUUAUGAGUUCUUGAUCUGUAAUCCAGUGGUGUCGUGAAGCUGCCAACUCCUUCACAAUGUCAUUUCCUGCCAUGUCUUGACCUGAACAAUACCAUAUUGUGUUAAUGCUAUUUUAAAUUGUGUCACUUUAUUCCUCAGUAAGAAAUGUGAUGAAUUGUCAGCACUGAUACUUAUAUGUGCAAAACCUGUCAUCUGUCUGCUUGUUUAUCUUUCAGAGUGAGGAGAAUAUAAGUGUCAAACAAGUGCAGUCUCACCAGCUUGCUCAGCUGCUUGCGCUGCAGCUCCCGAGCAGGGCUAACCUUUCUUGAACUCUAUUGAAGUGCUGUCGGUUUUGUAUAUUAUUUUGUCGGCAUGUUUAGUUGCACUGGUGGCGAUCUUUGAUGCCCAGUGUAUGUAAUCUGCUGUCUGCUUGUGCUUUAUUAUCAUAGUGGCGAACUUUGAUGCCCAGUGGAUGUAAUAUGUCGUAAUUUCUUUAUUGUAUAGUUUAGGUUUUUUUCUUAUUCAUGAUGCUGCAGUUAUUUUACUGUAUAUAUAUCCUAUCUUCGCAGUAAACCGGCCAAACCGCCGUCAUGCAAAUCACAUGUAUGAUCCGCAUCAUGGGCCCCGUCAUCUUGGUCCGUUAACAGGCCUAAAUGUAAACUGGCCCACUAGUAGAUCCAGGCCUUUAAUAGGCCAAGUAAAUCGUCGGCCCUAUUUUCCCAAGAAAACUCAAUGGGCCUUUAGGAGGCUGAAAAGUAGGUUGGGCCUGAAACGUGCCGAACAGCUCACGGGCCGGCAGCAGGCCGAAAUAGACCCCGGCCCAUGAAUGUGCCAAUCAAAUCAUGGGCUUAUAACAUGCCAAAAUUGUCUCGGUCCUUGUUUGGCCCAAUCAGAUUAUCGGCUGCGAGCAGGCCGGAUGCAAACCGGGCCAUAGUUAGGCCCAACUAUAUGACGGGCUUUUAACAGGCCAAAAUUAAUAUAGGGCCGAAAUGUUAAACGGGCCCUUAACAGGCCGAAACUAAUAUCAGGCCGAAUUACUAAAUGGGCCUUUAGCAAGUGGGCCCAAAAGCAUAGCGUCCAGUUGACGGCCGAAUCUGAUAUGGGCCAUAAUUUAGCCCAAAGCCUCUUAAAGGGUCGGACCUGAUCUGGGCCGUAAUUUGGCCCAGAACAUGGUAGGCUUUUAACGGGCCGAAUCUCAUAUGGGCCAUUAUUAGGCCCGGAACGUGGCAGCCAGUUAAUGGGCCGGCCUACUAGGGUCCUCAAAAUCUUGUGGGCCUACAGCUGGGCCGGCCCAUUAAUGCCGGUGAAAUCUCGUGGGCCUUUAGUUGGGCCGGCCCAUUAUGGUCCACAAAAAUCUUCUGGGCCUUCACCUGGGCCGGUCCGUUAUGGCCCGCAAAAAUCUUGUGGGCCUUUACCUGGGCCGGCCCAUUAUGGCCCGCAAAAUCUUGUGGGCCUUUAGCUGGGCCGACUCAUUAUAGUCCGCAAAAUCUUGUGGGCCUUUAGUUGGGCCGGCCCAUUUAAACUUUAUGCGCCACUUUUGGGCCGGUCCACGUGUUAACAUAUCAUAGGCGCAUCUCGCCCAUUGGAUGAGUGACACAUAUGCCAACGCGGAGCUGACACGUGUUUCCUACAGCCAAUGAUGAUUUUACAUGUGGAAAAUCCCCAUUGCUCCGGGCUGUUAACGGGUUAUCGGAUCCAAAACCAGACCCGAUAGCUUAACGGCAUUCCGUUACGGUGGAUGCCACGUGUCGGUCACCCUUGACGAAAGCACUUCUAUGACGCGCGAUUUAUCAUCAUGGAAAUGGACCCUUCCGUGAUGAUAAUUUUGGUAAUGUCAUGGAACACUUCUACGACAGCACAGGUAUGACUAUCUUGAUUCUGUCAUAAAUUUGUCAUGGAUGUACAUGCAUGACAGAAAACGUGACCUACUGUGACAAACACGUAUCAUCACGGAAGUGUAUUUUUUGUAGUGAUAGGAACCACCGGACUGUCAAGUGGGGUCUAAGUGAACAAAAUCAGAAAACGGAUGUGAUGCUCAACCCAAAUCCUAUGUCUUUGAGUGAAGACAAUGAGAGAAAACCUUAUCCAAAGUCGGAUGAGUUAGCUUUUACUUGUAGCCCAAGUCAAGCAGCCGCGUGUGUUUGAAAUCCAACUGUUGGACGCAUGUCGGUUCCUUAGUGACCCAGGGUCAUUUGGGACAUAUCAUGUCGGGUUGCCUCCGGGCUAUAAAUAGCCCACCCCCUACACCAUAAAUUGGUGGCUGCUCAGAGUUAUUGCAUGGCUUUUGUCAUUUGAGAGCAACCCACCUUCAAAGCCUUUGAGAGAGAAUCCUCGCGAGGACAAAACCCAAAACACCCAAAGCCCAAAGAGUGUUUUGCAUCACUGAAGUCUUUAUGUCUGCGUGAUCUGAAGACUUAUUACACUCGAAGACUGUGAUCUUCCAGUCGGUUAGCCAUCGCGUUCUGAGGAUCCAAGAGUCAUUGUGGAUCGCCGGUGAACGAAGUCUGUGAAGGUUUGGAAGUCUACCUUGAAGACUUACCAGAGUGAUUGGGCGAGGACUAAGUGUCCUUAGCUCAAGGGGAAUAAGGUGAAGACGUGGUCUUCUGUGUUUAAUCUCAGCCUCCCUAACCAGACGUAUAGUUGUCACAGCAACUGGAACUAGUCUAUCAAAUCCUUGUCUUUCUCAAGCAACUGGUUCUAUCACUUUACCCUUUACUUACAGUUUAGCUUCGUGAAGUCAUUUCUUGCCUGCUCUGUUUGACCUCACUGUGUGAAGACAUUCUCUCUGUUAGCAUAUUUGGCUUCAUAUUAUCUUCCAAUUCCGACUUCUUGUACCUAGCUGCUAUUUGUCUUCGUGCUUAAUCUGUUAUGACUAUUUGACUAUGGCAAAGCUAGUGUAGUUUAUCUUUCGCUGCAUACUGUGUAGGUGUUGUUUGCUUGCUUGUCUUCGAAGACAUUGCUUGUCUUGAAGACUUUCAUAAAAUUCGCCUAUUCACCCCCCUCUAGUCGAUAACUAGCACUUUCAUUCUCCCCCUUUUUGACAUCGAAUGACCAAAAAGGAAUGAAGACAUAGGGUGUCUAAGCGUUUCGGAAGGCGGUUGUGAAGAUGUUGGUGCAGCCGGGUCGACGUUGGAGUUGGGCGGUGUAGUACGGCCUGGCGUAGUGUCGAUGUGCAGUGAAGCCAUAGCUGGUGAAGUGGCGUCGUCUUCCUCAUCAAUCGCACGUGCAUGAACUGUUGGUGCAGAUGAUGAGUACUCGGAAUCUGCAAUGGAAGGUGUAGCAUGCCACUUAUCAGAUUCUGGGGGCUUGGAGCCAAACUUGAAGUUCUCCUUGAAGCCAUCGGCAACAAGAUUGUCUUCAGAGCAUAGCAAUGUGAGGCUCUUCCAAGCACGUCUGUUGGCUUCAUGUGCAACAAAAUCAUUCUUGGUGGAGAGGUUGUGGAUACGAUUGACAUCACCAAGGAGGCUCUUCAUCUGGCGCUUCAUCUAGUCAUGAUGCUUAUCUUGCUUCUGAUGAAGAGAAACAAGAAGCUCUCUGUCAGUCAUCACUCUUGGGUGCUUCUAAGGCCUUUGUGGAACUGUGCUGGUAGUGGCUUCAGUGUUAGCUUGAUGUGGAAGUCAAAUCUGACCAGCAAGUCUAGAGGUUGAGGCCACAUUAGGAAGAUGAAUGGCUUCCAUAUGCGCAAAGUGGCUUCGCUCCACAAGUCUUGAAUUUUUAUCCGCCGAAGGAUAAAUGACUUCAUGAGGAGCAUAGACUUCAGGCAGGAAGAUGUGAUGCAUACAGCCAGAGGGUUCAUAUUGCACAGUUGAGCGGGGUCUUGAUAAGGCGCAUGAUCCAUGGGGUGUAGAACUUGAGGCCAAAGAGGUCCAUGCCAGAAGCUGCAAGUUGCCCGAUGAAGAAAUCAUGCAUGUUGAAUCUUAUGCCAUUGACGACAUAGUAGACCAAUGUCUUCAUAGUUCCUUGAAGCUGGGCUGAAGAUGAAUGCCCUUUGACUGUCCAUAGAGUAUGCCGAAGAAUGUGAUAAAUUGUGCGAGGCAGGUACUCAAGGUCUUGGACAAAGAAGGCAGUGGGGUAUUCAGGUUCAACUAGUAAUGGCUUCAUCAUGGUGAGCAUUUCGGUCAUAUUUGGCUCAGGCUUCUGGAAGAUGCUCUCAACUUCCCUUUCAUAAGCAGCACAACCUGGAUUAUAGUUAUCUCUAAGAGUGGGCAGGUUGGUUAGCUUAAGAAGCUCUCGAGCAUGAGCGGUGUGAUGCACAUCUCCUGUCAUCCACUCAAGAACCCAAAUAUUUGGAUCCCUGUUAUAGCCUGAAAUGUGAAGUGUUGCAUAGAAUUGGAGAAUCAAAUCCUCGUUCCAGUGUUCCUUGUUAAGGACAAAGGGCAACAAUCCAACAUCUCGAAAGCAUUCCAAUGCUUGAUCAAAGAAUGGCAGAUCAGUCAUGGCUUCUAGAUCGAGACGCCUAUGAGGAUGAAUCCUAUCUUGGUUGUAUUGCACACAUGUGUAAUAGCUUUGCUGCAGAUGACUCCAGAACCGAUCAAAUGAGAUUGAUGGAUUCUUGUACGGUUUCUUGGUGCUGUCUAAGAAAGUGUUGUGCUCUAUGAAGCUGAGCACACUGAAGGUGCAGUCCGUAGAAGCAGUACUGCGAAGCCUGGGCAGUCAAGGCAUUGGCUUAUGUGUUUGUGGCCUGUUAUUGACAUUGAAUUCGUAUUGGGGUCCAGGUACUUCAGGAGGGACAAGGUUUGGCCAUGGAACACGCACCAGUAGGACUUCGGGCCCAGAUUUUUCUUCAGCGAUGAUAAGGCCAUCAUUUGUCUUUGGCUGACUGUCGUCUCCAUCCACAUGAGCUUCAGUGGCUUCAUGCUGAGCAUUGUCUUCAGCCACAUGGGCUUCAGUCACAUCGGCUUCAGCAGCAGGAGUGGCAGACAGUGUGACUUCAUAUUGGACAGGCUCAAGGGCAGUAAUUGCAGUAGCGACAUCUUGAUUGUCAUCGGCUGAUGCUGCCGGAAUAUCUUUAGCCUUUUUGGCUUCAGACUCGGUGGUAGUACAUGAAGGGAUGGCUUUAGGAAAUACUUCACGUGCAACAGAACUUGCAGGUUGCACAUACUCUUCAGGUAUACUGGACAUGGAGGAGGAGGGCCUCGGGCCUUUGUGAAGCCUUUGGAACAUAGGUGAUGUUGUUGUCAUCUCCAUGUCAUCAGGGGUGCCUUGAGGGGUCUCAAGGACGGGUGUUGUUACUUGAGGCGGUGGUGUAUGAGGAAUCACUUCAUGCAGUGGGGUGUUGGGGUGCCGCUCUUCCCAGAACUCAUCUUGGACCAUUGGCGUCGGAGGAUUGCCAAUGCUGAUGGGCUCACUGUUUGUUGGAACAGGCGAUGAUACCACAUUAUGGGUGAUUUGAGGAAGGACUUCAUCAUCUUCUUUUCUCAGAUUGUCAUCAUAACCAAUGUCUUCAGCCACGAUGGAGUUCAGUGGCUGGAAUAUCUUCAGUGACAUGAGCCUCUGUGGGAGCAGGUUCGUGCACGACCAUUCUUCUUUCUUGGUUGGUGGAGGCAGGGAGAGCAACAGAAACGGGCUUCACAAGCAGCAGCUCCUGGGGAGCAUAUGGAGAAGUAGGUGCCUGUGCCCUGCGCGAAGCCUUUGACGACUUCGUCUUUUGCCGCUUCUUAGAAGGUGAGGCAUCAGAAGCUUCAUGUUGCUUGUGCUUCUUGGCUUUGGCUUCGGCUUGCUUAGUCCUCUUCCUAUUGGAGGCAACUGAUGGAGCAGAUGGCUUCGGACCAACAAAUCUUGGUGGGAAGAUAAUCUUAGGCACAUCUAGCCUAGACAUUUCAGUAGCAGGAGAGGUUAGCUUCUUCUUCUUCUUGACUGGCUUGGGGUCAAUAGCAGGACAGCCAAGAGCAGUUCUCUUCAAGCCUUCAUUGUGAGCUUGCACACAUUUUUCCGCAUAGUGUUCCAGGCGGUCUCGAGAUGCAUUUGCAUCAUCACGACGCCUUUGAAAUUCGGCUUUCAGAUCAGCCAUCGUCGUCUUGAAGCUUUGGAUUUCAGUGGCGCUGAGCUUGGCCAUAUGCUUCUUGAAGACAGUCUUCUCAUGAUCGAUCUUGUUCUUCUGCUCAAUCACUUUCUGAGUAAUAGCUAGUUCCUUUGCAACGAAACCUUGGAAGGUGACACUGAUGCCAAUAAGCAGCUGAAUAUCAUCAAGAGAAAGGGAUGGAUCUUGAAACCAUUCAUCAAUGAAGUUGUUCAGAAUGUCAGAAUUGAACAAAGGCAUGUCCUUGAAGAUGUUAGCUUCUUCCUGAUUGUUCUUGAUUAGUAGCUCCAGAGCAUCAUCAGCAAGAUCAUCAUCACUGGACAGAUCUAUGAUGUCAUCAUCAUCUGGCAAUAUGCUUGAUGGUGUAGGGCCUCGCCCUUUGGAUUUCUUAGUACUCGGAGAAUUCCUAGACAUAUCUUUAGAAUGCACACUGGAUUCAAGAGGUGCAAUUUUCAAUGGCUUCACUCUUGAAGCUUUUGGUGCAGUGACAACCUUUGAAGCCUUUGCUUUCUUGGCAGGCUUCGGUAACUCAGGGGCGGCAAUUUGUUGCACCCCUUUUCGGGCGGCUUCCGCACUUGCUCUGAGUUCAGCAUAGUGCUCAAGAUAUGCUGUGAAGUCAUUGAAUGGGCCAACCAGGUUUGGUUCGGCCUGGCGAGUGCCAUCUGGCCUUGGUGCAGCUGGACCAGGGUUGAAGUCAAUCCCAUAGUCUUUCUUUCUUUGAGCAGCAGAGCCCCUUGCAAACUGAUAGUUGGCUUUAAAGAGAUCAUCCUCACAGCACCACCAUAUGCUGGAUGGAUCAGGAUUUUGAGGCAUUUCACGUCUCACCAUGCAUGGGUACAAGCCUAACCUGAUGGCGUCAGCCUUUGUCUUCGAGAUUAGCUUCUUUUAGACAAUACCGGCCCAUGGUGGCCUCAAAGCAUUCUUCGCAGCAUACUCGGGGGUUACAAAUUGAUAAUGAAACCAUUUCUCCUCCUAGUAUCUACGAAUCCAUUGCACUCGUGAUUUGCAUUCCCUAUAUGUUUCCUCUGGAUCUGACUUGUACAUCUCAUACAGAUCAGUAGGCAGAUCAAGAGCAGUGUUUUCAUGAUGUUGUCUUCCCCCUUUCUUUGUAGAUUUACCACUAGACAUUGGCUUCACAAAACUGAUUGGCUUCGCUUUGCUGGUAAGACAUGAACUGGUUUUAGGAGAGUCAAGAUGAAGCUGUAAGAAGUCUGCAAAUGAAUUUAGACUAUGAGAACCAAGAGACUCGCCCACGGACAUGUACCUGUGAAAGAAUUAGAGAUGUGAGGGAAGAAGGAGAGGUCGUAUGCAUUCUUAGAGGAUUUUGAAGUUAAAAUUAGUUUGAAGAUAAUGACCUGAUAGUCCGUAGACAUUCACUUAUAGAAAGAGGUUGGUUCCAGAUUUGUACGAAUCUAAAAAUAAGUACAACUAAGGAAUCAUACUCGUCAUGAAUCAUAAGUGAAAUAACUUUGCAUGUUUAUGAGAUACAAAAGAUUGAAGAUAAAGAUUUGGGAGUGGAAGAACAACUUCUGAAGAUAUUUGAAAAACUAUCGGAUCUAACGAACGGUAAAAAGUGAGAUUUAUCUACCACACAAAGAACAAACGAUGAACUUCUAGAUGAGGCGAGAAGGAGGCCGAGCAGUUCAAUCUCCCGCACCCUAACUUGGUGGUGGAAGACAGCUACGGCGGCGGCGGGGCGAGGAUGUCUGUGGCCGGCGUGAAUACGACAACGAAGAAGUCGCGACAGCUAAGCACUUCUCUGGCAAUGAUGGAAGCUAGCGAUGACGCUAGGGUUGCGGGGGCAAGAGUGACAGGUAUGGAAGUAUUUAAUGACCACGGGGCAAAAUAUUUAUGAGGAGUUCGACGCGAUGAAUUUAUGGUGCUGCCCCCGGCGGUUCGCAUUCGCAGGACGCGUGGCCUGCAUGCGUAGUUUCUACAGGCGUGCCACGACCCCACCACAUAGCUGUUUUGGGGGGAGGUCAUUCGAGCUUCUGCGGUGUCCGGCAAAAUGGAUAAGGAUAUAAAAACAUUUUAAAUGUUGGUCUCAAAAUCUUUGAUUGACAAGGACACAGUGAAGAUCAUCGUCACGUGUCAAAAGAAUGCAUAUGAAGAUUAAUAGAGAGUAGGAGAGAUAAGCACAGAUGGGAUAAGGGUCCGAUCACAUUCACUUAGCACAGAGAAAAGCAACUUGAAGACAUAGCUAUAAGUGAAUGCUGUUGAGGACAAACACACACACACAUAAUAUAUAUAUAUAUAUAUAUAUAUAUAUCAUAAUAUAUAUAUGUAUGUAUAUAUAUAUACACACAUACAUAAACACUAUUCUGAUCACAACUUGAACUUCCUGAGUUACAGGCCUGAACUUCCCUCUAUAGGAACCCGACCUUCGGGCUAUCUUCGCAACCGUGUCUCCCCGCGUGAAUUAUUCUGGUUAGUCAUGUUCUAUAUGAUGUUAGUGUAAUGUAGAAACAUUUUUUAGCAACUAAAUACCCGUUUUAAAUAGGAGUCUCGCUCAUUGGCGGAUUUUGCUCUCGGGUCGUGAUGAAAUUGCGUUUUUUACAAUUUUACUGCCUGAGUUGUUCGACCAGAACUUCUUCGAGUGCUAGGUUGAACUUCCGCCAACAUUGCCCAAAUGGGGCUUGCGAUAUACCGUUGGAAAGCUAUGGACACCAGUAUCAUCACCCAAGUUAAAUAUUUGGCAAAAUGUAAGCAGUUUUGAAAAUUGUUUUUUCUUCAAACAAAAAACGUGAAUCGUAUUUUCGAUUGCAUUUCUAAACCGUUUAUCGGACUGAGACAAAUAAUAUGGCGUUGGAAAGCUGCUGUACAACCGCUUCUUCCACAUGUUGAAAGUUUUCUCUAAUUCCUUAUGAUUAAAGAGUAAUUUGAAAAAUCGUAAAAUUUUGCAAACCGAACAGCCGAGUUUGAUAUGGCGUUUGAAAGCUUAUGAAAAUGCGCUACUUUCUCUUGUUGAAAGUUUUUUCUAAUUUGCAACGGUUUAAAAGUAAUUUAGAAAACGGUAUAAGUUCCACCGAGUUCAUAUUUUCGAGCUAAUUUUUUAACCUUAUGUCCGAAUGCAGCAAAUGAUAUGGCAUUGGAAAGCUUGAAGAAAUGCAAAACUUUUUGGUAUAUAUUAUUUUCCCAAUUCAUUAUGGUUUUACGUCAAUUUCGAAAAUGGCUACAAACGUAUUUUUGCUGUAAUUUUUACAACUUUUAUCGAAAUGGGGCAAAUAAUAUACCGUUGAAAAGCUACGAAAAAUGUGAAACUUUUUCAUGUUGAUGGUUUUCUCUGAUUCCUAGCCGUUUUCAAGUAAUUUCAAAAACAGCGGGAUCAUUCGUUUUGCCUUUAUCGCGAAACAGAUUUUUCAAAAAUGCAACGCGUGAAGAACUUGAACUUCUCGGCAUGUUUACUUGAACUUCACUCUGUUUUUCACGUUCUUUUUUUACUCGUAGCUCUCCAUCCACUCACCGGAAUUGAGCAAGUGAUAUACCGGUGAAAGCUGCUGUAAACACGCAACUUUCCCGUGUUGAUCGUUUUUUCAUACUCGCGACGAUUUUAAAAGUUUUUCAUCUAAAAUUCAUUCACUAUAGUAGUUGAACUUCCUGUUGUUUUCACGUUGAACUUUUGUGACGUAUUUUUGUUUGUAAUUUUCUCAUCCAUUCGUUAGUGUUACACAAAUGAUAUUCCUUUUAUACAAACCACUCUCAAAUAAAUUUUUUAACUUUCUCUAACGGAGGACUUGAACUUAUAACAACAACAAAAUUAGCCUUUGCUUUUUAAUUCUUUUUAAAUACAAAUGCACACCGUGUAGUACGUGAACUUCUAGCAUUUAUCAAUCAACUUCUCUCGGUUACGUCAAAAUAUCUUAGUUUUUUUAUGAAUUUUUAAUCUGAUUUUCUUAAUCUUUCUUUAUGAAAUUUUGAAGCGCUCUAUUUUUAAAAGUUGAACUUCUUGUUUUUUAUUUUUGAACUUCUUGUUUCCAUUGUUUAAUAACGAGGAAAAUCUGAGUUUUCUAUAAUCAUCGAACUUCUCCAUCUUUUUAAUAUGGACUUCCUGGUUUUUUUCUUAAUCUUUUUUAUGAAAUUUUGAAGCGCUCUAUUUUUUUAAAGUUGAACUUCUUGUUAUUUAAUUUUUGAACUUCUUAUUUUCCAUUCUUUAAUAACGAGGGAAAUCUGAGUUUUCUAUAAUCAUCGAACUUCUUCAUCUUUCUAAUUUGGACUUCCUCAUUUUAUUUCUUUUAGUAACGGAAAAAAUCCUACUUUUUGAUAGACAUCGAGCCCCUUCGUUAAAUUUGAACUUCUAGGUUUAUUUUAAUAGAACUUCUUCAUUUUUUUGAAUAAAACUUAUUGGUCUUAUUCUUUAGUAACCGGAAAAAAUUGAGUUUUUAAAUAAAUAUCAAACUGCUCUGCUUUUAAAAAUUGAACUUCUUGGUUUUAUUAUUUAGUAACAAGAAAAAAUUGAGUUUUUAAUAUGCAUUGAACUACUUCAUUUUUUUAAUUCAACUUCUUUGUUUUUAUCUUUAGUAUUGGGGAAAAUGCCCAAAAUGACAUUAUUUUUUCUUUUCUUUUUUGAACUUCUAAAUCCUAGGUAUUAAUAUACUUUGAACUUUUGUGUUAUUUUAAUCUGAACUUCACAUUUUUUAUUUUUUGAGUAAAGUUUUUGUUUUGAUUUUUAAAUAAACAUGAUUUUGACUUUUUUUUAUUUUUGAUCUUCAUGGCCGAUUCUUUAAUUCCUUUUUUUAUUUCAACUUCUUCAUUUUAUUAUUUAGUAACGAGAAAACAUCUAAGUUUUUUUAACCUUUGAACUUCUCUCUUAUUUUACUUUGAACUUCUUAGAGAAAAAUAUGGUUUUAAAUAAGCAAACAAUUUUCUAGGUUUUUACCUUUGAACUUCUAGGUUUUUUGACCUUCUCGGUUAUUUCAAAUUGAACUUCUAGGUUUAUUAAAUUUUAAACAUGGGCAAACAAGAAUUCACUACAAGCAUUUCAGAACGAUAUUUUUGUUUAUUUUUGGUCAACUUUUGUCUUGUACAAGGAUUCAGAAAUGUACCGUAUUUUUUUCAUAGUAGAUGAAGUCCUAAAUAGCAAGAGCAGGAGUGAGCGACCACAACAAAUGCUUUACAACAACAAAGGUCGAGAACAUCUAUGGCUUUUUUCUAACUUGAACGUCUCUAAUGAAAAAAAUGCUUUUUUUCUAUGACCUUCUCCGCUGGUCAUCUUUGAACUUCUAUGAAAUUAAAUUUGGUUGGAGCUGGAGACUGGUAUAUGAGGAAAGAAAGGGUACAAUUCUCAAAAAAGUAAAGAAAGGGUACGGUGCAAAAUAAACUACAUAACACUCCAAUCAUACACAAGUGCACAUACAAGAAGUACUGUACUAGUCUAGCUCACACACACAUUUCACCGAACAUGAGUCGUGCAUGUACAAAACUGUUUGUACAGAGCCAAUGUUUUGCUCUUGGAAAAAGUCCAAAACAAACCUUCAAUUUGUAGGCGAAAGCUAAAUCAAACCCCGAACUCUCAAUCCCUGAAAUCAGCACACUAAACUCUUUAAUCCCGGUCUAUUUUAAACCUUGACAGAAUAUAGCCGGGAUUUGCUGAAUUGGGCCGGCCCAGUAGCGCAGUUGCUCGCGCGCGCACUAAUCUGGUUUUUUCUUAGUUUCUUCCUUUUUCGUUUUCUUUUUUCAUUUUUGCACAUGUCUAAUUUUUCUCAGUACCCAAUGUACAUUUUUAACGCACACAUUAAAUAUUUUUGGAUAAACUUUUGAUAUUUUCAAAUAAAUUAUGUACGUUUAUAAAUUACAUGUUUUCAAAACUUUUUGAAUACAUGGUAAUAUUUUUUCAACUACAUGUUUUACAUUUUCUUAAUGACAACAAACAAUUUAUAAAACUACACAACACUCUUUUACGUGGUUCAACAUUUUAAAAUUUGCAUACACUUUUUUCAAGGACAAGCCACAUAUAUUCUGUUAAGGUUAAGACACAUUUUUUUACAUCACUCACACAUUUUUUUACAUUGUCAACGCAUUCUUUUAAAAAUGUCACAAACACAUUUUUUGGAACUCGUGAUCAUUCUUGAAAAGUUACAUUUUUUUGAAUUUAAAAACAUUUUUUUGAAUCACACAAAUAUUAUUAUACAUUGUAUAAACAUUUGGAUUGGCCCGUACAUUUUUUAAAACUUGUGAUAUUUUUUAGAUGUCACAAAAUAUUUUCAGGUAUUAGAAAAUGUUUAUGUAUCAAAACGUGUCCGCACUUUAAAAUUUUAUUCUGGUUGCAGAAAAAAUUUAUGUUUCAAAAAGUGUUUGCCCUAUAAAAUUUUGUUCAGGUUUCAAAAAAUGUUUAUGAAGGUGUUCGCUUUUCCAAAGUUGUUGGUUUUUUAAAAGUAUUCAAAAUUUUCAAAAAGUUUUCGCACUUUACAUAAUGUUCAAAGAUUUCAUAAAUAAAUACGUUAUCAAUAAUUGUUUGCCCCUAAAAAAUGUUUUCAAAGUUCGACGCUUUGGUUUCUGAUUAAAUAUUUCGGGCCUCUUCAGUGUAGUGGCUACCAGGUCCCAAGUUCGACUCCACAGCAUGUUUUUUUGGUUUGGAAUUAUUACGUCGCCCGUUAAGAAAAAGAAAGAAACAAUUUUUUACGUCGCGUGUUAAGGAAAAAAAUUGCUUCAUGUCUCGUGGGCUGGCCCAGUCGAGUCCACUGCCAACAAUCCGAAACAUUUUUAACUACAUUAUUUAUGAAAUAAUUUACGAAAUUCCAAAAACAGUAUUUAGAAAAUGUGACACAAUUUUGAAAAUACGAAAUAUUUUUCACAGCAUGUGAAAAACUGAUUUUUUUGAAAUCACGAACAGUUUUUUAAAAUUCUAAUAGAGUUGAUUUUGUGCGAAACACGAAAUUCCAAAGAGUUUUGAAAAACACAAAACGAAUUGAAUUUGUGUGAAAAAUAGAAAACAGAAACAUUUUUAACUUUCGAACAAUUUUAGAAAUGUGCGAACAUUUUUUAAACCUCAUGAAUUCUUGUUGUGUUAUAGUGGGCCGGCCCAAAUUCUAGUCUGUGAGAGUAGCUGGAAUCCCGGCCGGGAUUGUAGUCUUCCCAGCGUGCCAAACAGGUCUAGGGUCCAAAAUAGACCGGGAUUACAAGUUCAGAGUGCCAAUUUCCGGGAUUCAAAAUUCAGGGUUUGAUUUAGCUUUCGUCUAUAACUUUAAGGUUUAUUUUGGACUUUUUUCCUUUGCUCUUUUCACAGUCGGCGCCCAGGUCAACAUCAUCAUGCAAUCCUGUGCUGGCCCGCAUCAUAUAAGGAGCAAUCUUUUUUUAGUGCAGACGCAUCUGGAUUAUACACGGACAUGCCAGCCAUGUCGAGCAAUCUAGCUUGUAGAAACCUGUGCCGAGUGCCGACCAUUGUGAGCUCGCUCGCGGCAGUGGGUGCACGAGCCGCCACACGCACGAGUAGCAGCGGUGCAAGACGCAUCUUUCUGGCCGGCACACUGCGACCGACGGCACAAUCACAUGGGAUGACGCCUCCACGCGGCAGGUGGAGCUGGUCCAGUGAAAUAGCAGUUCAGGCAUCCUGGGCGGUAGCACGCGCGCUGGGAAAGUCGUGGCUCGCGGACGAAGAUGAGCGAUGGUGACGGGUAGGGAACGUUGCGAGGUGGUGCAGGCGAGAGGAGGGACUGGCAAGCUCAACGAUGGUGGAGGAGACGGGAGCGGCUGUUCCAAAGACGAGCCCUCCUCGGGAAGGUCGAGUUGGCCCUCGCGAGAAGGCCAAUUAGUCCUCGGCGGUGACAGUCAUUGACGCCAAGUUAAACAUUUCUUCUGAAAAGAUAAAAGGUCUCUUUUUUCCUCGCUUGAGCUAGCCAGGGGUAUACCAUUAAAUAUAUGUGAAUGUGUUUAUACCACACGUUUUGCACUAAUCCAUUCCUCUCGGUAGCUUCACCCGUGUUGUAGUGUCUGGACACCAAAGCUAGCCGCACCGGGAGACGUUGGGUAUAAAUGCUUCUAUACAAGGUUGUGCUUGUUUUUACACCACACCUUUUGGUCCUUGUCUCUACAUCUUAUCUUCUUGAAGUACCCACAACCACACGUUUUAUUCUUUGUUCUCUGUACUCUCCCCUCCAUGUAACUUUGUCUCAUGGCGUACUAGUUAAGAGAAGACCAUUUUCACUUCGGGUUUAGGCGCCCGGCCGACCACGUUCAGACCAACUCGGGAGGAUUUGGUGACAUGAGCAUGUGCAGCGUGGUCCUCGGCCUUGUACAUCCUGCACUCCAUCAGGCGGUGGCCUGCAUCCCUAUCGGAGAAAGCCGAAUCUCUCGACCUGCUACUUCUUUAGAGUUCGACCUGCUUUUUCUUCAGAGUCCGACCUGCUACUUCGUCAUGCAAGAUGGAGCACGACAUGCUUGGCUUGAUGGGAAACCUUGCUGAGGAAAUAGCUGCCCGUGAAUGCAGCCAAUCCUGAUAUAAGUAUCUAGGGAGAACAUGAGCUCUCUCAGAGCUUAGCCACUGUCGGCCAUUGGAUCGAGUCUCUUGAUGCGUUUUUGGACGUUGGAUCGAGCGGUGGAAGUCGCUGGGCCGUUGGAUCAAAAAAAGUUACUGCUACAAUGAAUAGUUACCGUCUCGUUCGUGCCACCGUGCGUAAUUACGCUGCCCCGUCGGGGGCAUUUUCGUCAUUUCACGCUUACGCGUAUAAAUUGCGUCCGCUCCAGGAGAUGACCUAGCCGCCUCUCCCCCCGCACUCUGCGCUCCCAUCCCUCGCUCCUCCCGCCGCUCCCUCUCCUCUUCCUCCCGCCCCGCCUCUCUCUCUCCGUCCAAACCCUCCCUAACCCACGUCCGCCUCCCUGCCCCGCCACCAGCCGCAGCCACCGCCGCCGCCGCUCGCCGCGUCUCCCUCCAAACGCUCGCUGCGCCCGCCUCCUUGCCCCACGCCGCCGUCAUCUCCGCCGACGCCCGCCUCCUCCGCCGCCUCCUCUCCACCGCCGCUGAGGUGGCACGGGAGGUGGCGCCCCCCGCGUCGUGGGCGUUGGUGCAGCCGCAGGUGGGGGCGGCGGCGUGGACGGAAUUGGGGCAGGGGCGUUCUUCGUGGCCGCAUCAGGCGUGGGCGCUGCCACAGGCGGAGCAGCAACAACAGUGAGGCUGUACACAGCGGAAGGGGAACAGGCGGGGUACACGACCAAGUGGGAGGAGCUCCGUCCGGUUUCGCAGCACCUUCUCCUGCAAAUCGAGUAUGUUCCUGGUCAUAUCACAUAUCUUGCCCGUCUUUCUUGUCGAAUUUGGUACUCGUGGUUUAUUAUUGGCUUCCGCCACUGUGACAUGCUAGGGUUUCAAAAACAUCUCGUGGUGGUGGAUUCUGCAGGUAUUGUGGGGAUCAGAGGAGUUAUCUCUUUGUUCAAUUUGUGUAUUUAAUUGCGUCUCCUUUGAUUGGUUUGGUGCUUUGCCUGGUGUUCAGAAUGAUUUGCCUCAUUGCUCUCUGACCAUCACCUGGUUCAUCUGUGAUUUGGCAGGGAGAAGAUAAGGGAUGAGAGGCAUGUGUGUGAGCAAGUGGAACAAUAACUGGAUGCUCGUCAGAUUACCCAGGUUUGGUUUUACUCUCAGGGUGCUUUGUUCUUUAAUUUGCAGAACAUGUUUGAACAACGUUUCAGCCUUCACGGAUUAGUGUAGUAGCCUAACCAUUGCAGAAAAGAGGAAGAAAGUUAAACUGAACCUAAAUUCAGAUAUAUUUUGAUGAACGUCUAGUUAUCUGCUUGAAGAACAAAGGGUGCUUAAUACUGGUUUGGUUUAUUCUGUGAGCAGGUGGAACAAUUCAGGAUAAAACUGAACCUAAAUUCAGAUAUAUUUUGAACUAAUCAUAUAUUAGUUCCAAUUAGAUUAUAUGAGCAUAUCAGACUAGAUGGUCUCCUAGACCUUUAGAAGUUGAUAUUCUCUAUUUUUGGCCACAUCAUUUUUGUAAAAAUAGUAGAGUCGCUAACACAUCUGCACAACAUAUGGCUUAUUACAUAUAUAUGCUUGGUCUUCUGUUCUGCACAGCGAAACCAUGGGUUUUUUAUUCUAAGAAAAUGAUGUAUAUUGGUGUUGUAUCCACAAGAUCUAUGUAAGUUAGAAAUUUAGAAGUAAUCCAUGGAAAUACAAGCAUUAUUUUUUUUCGUGGUAUGAUGAAAAAGUUCACCUAGGUCCACUUGCUUUUAUUUGUUGUUCUUGUUCCGAUAAUGUUUGAUUUAUAGUUUCAAUUUCAUCAGCACAAAUAGACUCAAUGGUGUAAUGAUUCAGUUUCACAUAUAUUUUGCCAGUAUGGUAUUUAUGAAUUUUUUUUCCAUGAUCCAUGAUCCAGGAUAUCAGAUUUAUGAGCUUCUGUUACUUGAUGCAAUUUCAAAAAGUGUCGGUAAGGUAAAAAUGAUCUAGAAGCUUAUUGCAUUCGAAAGUAGUUAUUGCAAGAAGAAGCAUGAGACACUAGCAGGUAUAUAAUGUCUAUUCUGCUUUCUAUUUGUUUUUUAGGUUCAGAUUACAAAUUCUUGCAUGAUGUAGAAGUUUCAACCGAAUGGUGCACCCUCAAAAUUGUGUUUUGUUAUGCACGAUGCAAGCUUCAGCAGCACCACACCUAGAUUUUGAAUGGCUCAUAGCAGACUAUAUAUGGCUAACCUAUUGUAUGGCAUUCUUAUUUUUUGUCUAUAUGCAUUACUUCUAGAUUUACUUCUAUUGUUGCGCCAUCACAUGGAUCAAACACACUAAAAUAUGAUGUUGAUCUUGCACAAAAGGAAGAACGGUGGUGUCACAUAAGCAUGGCUCGACCUAGCCUUGAUCAUGGUAGCCUCUUAGGUGUUCCUACUUGCUACUAUCCAUGCUACCUGAAAACCCAGCUUAUUUCACCACCAGCUCCAAAGCAACGACAGAAUGUAGGCAUCACCGUAUAUAAUUUUAUUGCAUAUUGCUCAACUCCUCCUCUAUGAAUUUGCUUACAAGCGUGUGUGACUACACUUGCUAUGCACAUGUACUAUAGACAAGUCGGCAGGACCUCACAUCACAACACCUAAGCGAGUCUGGCAAGGCUUGCUCGCCAUGGCCUACCGCGUCGGCGAGACGGGGCGAGCACGUGAUCACCAUCAACAGGUCCUUUGUCACAACACCCUAGCAAGCGAGAUGUUUAGACAAAGAUAUAUGAUAUAGUACUAUCAACAUAUGUCAUAGACGAACAGUAUAUAUCCUUCUCUUCACAAGCACAAGACUUGAUUUUGAUAAAUUGUGUUACCAUUUCUGCGGCAUCAACAUUUGGGAGGACACACCAUCUGAAUCCUCUAUAAUAACUGAACCAUUACUAUUACAAGCAACCUCCUACAUCUUCCUUCCAAAAAUUCAGAUGAUGGUUUAGUUGUUUAUAUACAUGUGCCAUCUCUUAUGUCUGAAAUAUAUAUUCUACUACCGGGCUGGCUGGCACCUGGCAGGCUGCACUUCCUAUCUACUUGUGACGCCCCAUCAUGUUGGUUUACAUUUGGAGCAAAAAUGCUGCUGAGCAUUUGGUGUGACUGAUUGCACUAUCCAUUUAGUGUUGUCUGGACAUAGCUAUGUAGUGGACACAAUUAUUUAGAAAAAUGUCAAACCUUAACAUUUACAGGAAGCUUUACAUAUGUUUGGAUUAUGGGUCCGCUGUAGGUUUGCAUAGAUAAAUAAAUAGCACUCUUGCUAUCAAAGUGUGUGUUUCAUGGGCCUUUCUUUGUUUGAGGGACAUAACUCAAUUUUUGUAUCAGCCAUACUUCUGCUAUAUAUAUGGAAACAAUCAGUGUCUAUUUCUAUUUUAUCUGAACUGAGACAAAAUUUACUAUAUGUAAACAAUCAUUGGUUCUUUCUUUUUUAUCUAAACUGAGAAAUAACUCUAAUCAAUUGUUUUUUUAUUUAAUGUCUAAGUAUCUUCCUUACCCAAAACUUGUGCCAAAACUGGUAUUUCUUUCAUGUGUGCCUUGUGCCAUAUAUUAUCCAACCCCCUCUACUUCUGUACAGUUUUUUGUGGCGAAAGAUUACUGGCACCAUGUGAAUCUUAAGCUCCACCAUUUCCUAAUUUUUCUCUCAUGGUCGCCCUCUAGGUUUCCUGGCAAGGCGAUGGUGUAUGAACCCUGUGCGCCUGCCUAGCUGUAUUGCGGCUCGAGGAUGCGGCGGAGGUGGCACAUGAGCAGAUGAAAGAGGAAUAAUUGAAGCCCCAAUGCCUCCCACAUUCUUGCUCCCUGAUAAUGGAAGUACUAGGUUUCAAACUCCUUCCCCUUCCCUGAUAUUUACAAUUCCUUUUCGGUUAGCCAUCACCGAUGUUGACUGUUGACUGAAAUAUUUAGUUCUGUUGCUGGACACCUAAUAUCUGCACACUGUGUGUCCGCCAGCUGAGCGGCAAGCCGGAGCUGCAAGUCGCUGAACAUGGUCGUGCUACUGUGAGGAUCUCAUGUCUCUCACUCUGUAUCUCUCAUCAGCCCAUUCCACUUUGUGUAUGGUCAAGGCAGUCAAUUCUUUGUUGUUGAGGCUUAUCUGUUAUUUCAGGGCAACUCACUUGGGCAUGUAGUGGGGAUGGCUUAUGUUCAAGCACCUAAUGGAAUGUAUGCUUUUCCUUGAUGCUCCGUUCCUAAGAAAUUGCAUGAAGCUGGUGUCUGGUGAGCAAUCUGGCCUUGACCAUAGAGCCUUUCUUUUCUUCCGCAGUUCAUGCUUUAUUGUUGGAAAUAUGCCCUAGAGGCAAUAAUAAAUGGUUAUUAUUGUAUUUUCUUGUUCAUGAUAAUUGUCUAUUGUUCAUGCUAUAAUUGUAUUGACUGGAAACCGUAAUGCAUGUGUGAAUACAUAGACCACAACAUGUCCCUAGUGAGCCUCUAGUUGACUAGCUCGUUGAUCAAUAGAUGGUUAUGGUUUUCUGACCAUGGACAUUGGAUGUCAUUGAUAACGGGAUCACAUCAUUAGGAGAAUGAUGUGAUGGACAAGACCCAAUCCUAAGCAUAGCACAAGAUCGUGUAGUUCGUUUGCUAAGAGCUUUUCUAAUGUCAAGUAUCAUUUCCUUAGACCAUGAGAUUGUGCAACUCCGGAUACCGUAGGAAUGCUUUGGGUGUACCAAACGUCACAACGUAACUGGGUGGCUAUAAAGGUACACUACAGGUAUCUCCAAAAGUGUCUGUUGGGUUGGCACGAAUCGAGACUGGGAUUUGUCACUCCGUAUGACGAAGAGGUAUCUCUGGGCCCACCCGGUAAUGCAUCAUCAUAAUGAGCUCAAUGUGACCAAGUAGUUAGUCACGGGAUCAUGCAUUACGGAACGAGUAAAGAGACUUGCCGGUAACGAGAUUGAACGAGGUAUUGGGAUACCAACGAUCGAAUCUCGGACAAGUAACAUACCGAUAGACAAAGGGAAUUGUAUACGGGAUUGAUUGAAUCCCCGACAUCGUGGUUCAUCCGAUGAGAUUAUCGUGGAACAUGUGGGAGCCAAUAUGGGUAUCCAGAUCCCGCUAUUGGUUAUUGGCCGGAGAGGUGUCUCGGUCAUGUCUGCAUGGUUCCCGAACCCGUAGGGUCUACACACUUAAGGUUCGGUGACGCUAGAGUUGUUAUGGUAAAUAGUAUGUGGUUACCGAAGGUUGUUCGGAGUCCCGGAUGAGAUCCCGGACACGACGAGGAGCUCCGGAAUGGUCCGGAGGUGAAGAUCGGUAUAUUGGACGAAGGGUAUUGGAGUCCGAAAUUGUUCCGGGGGUACCAGACUAUGGCCAACAUGUCCGAAAGGGGUUUCGGAGGCCCCGGCAAGCGUUGGGGGCCUUAUGGGCCAAGGGGAAGGGGCAAACCAGCCCAUUAAGGGGCUGUGCGCCCUCCCAACCCCUCUCACGUAACCAAGAGAGGUGGGGGCGCCACCCCUAGGGCAGCCGCCCCUCCCGGCUUGGGGGGCAAGUUUCCUAGGGGGUGGGGGCGCCCAAACCCAUCUAGGGUUUCCCCUGGCCGCCGCCUCCUCCUCUAGAUCCAUCUAGAGGGGCCGGCCCCCUCUCCCCUUCCCCCUAUAUAUAGUGAGGGGGUGGGAGGGCAGCCACACCCCUUGCCUGGCGCAGCCCUCUCCUCCUCCAACUCCUCCUCCUCCGUAGUGCUUAGCGAAGCUCUGCCGGAGAACCACGAGCUCCAUCGCCACCACGCCGUCGUGCUGCUGAAGUUCUCCCUCAACUUCUCCUCUCCCCUUGCUGGAUCAAGGAGGAUAUGUCCCGGGCUGUACGUGUGUUGAACGCAGAGGCGCCGUCCGUUCGGCGCUAGAUCGGAUCUUCCGCGAUUUGAAUCGCCACGAGUAUGACUCCAUCAACCGCGUUCUUGUAACGCUUCCGCUUAGCGAUCUUCAAGGGUAUGAAGAGGCACUCCCUCUCUCUCGUUGCUAGCAUCUCCCAGAUUGAUCUUGGUGACAUGUAGAAUUUUUUGAAUUAUUGCUACGUUCCCCAACAGUGGUAUCAGAGCUAGGUCUAUGCGUAGAUUCUAUGCACGAGUAGAACACAAAGUAGUUGUGGGCGAUGAUUUGUUCAAUUUGCUUGCCGUUACUAGUCUUAUCUUGAUUCGGCGGCAUUGUGGGAUGAAGCGGCCCGGACCGACCUUACACGUACACUUACGUGAGACAGGUUCCACCGACUGACAUGCACUUGAUGCAUAAGGUGGCUAGCGGGUGUCUGUCUCUCCCACUUUAGUCGGAUCGGAUUCGAUGAAAAGGGUCUUUAUGAAGGGUAAAUAGCAAUUGGCAUAUCACCGUUGUGGCUUUUGCAUAGGUAAGAAACGUUUUGCUAGAAACCCAUAGCAGCCACGUAAAACAUGCAACAACAAUUAGAGGACGUCUAACUUGUUUUUGCUGGGUAUGCUAUGUGAUGUGAUAUGGCCAAAAGGAUGUGACGAAUUAUAUAUAUGUGAUGUAUGAGAUUGAUCAUGUUCUUGUAAUAGGAAUCACGACUUGCAUGUCGAUGAGUAGGACAACCGGCAGGAGCCAUAGGAGUUGUCUUAAUUUAUUGUAUGACCUGCGUGUCAAUGAAAAACGCCAUGUAAUUACUUUACUUUAUUGCUAACCGUUAGCCAUAGUAGUAGAAGUAAUAGUUGGCGAGACAACUUCAUGAAGACACGAUGAUGGAGAUCAUGGUGUCAUGUCGGUGAUGAAGGUGAUCAUGCCGCGCCUCGAAGAUGGAGAUCAAAAGGCGCAAGAUGAUAUUGGCCAUAUCAUGUCACUUUAUGAUUUGCAUGUGAUGUUUGUCAUGUUUACAUCUUAUUUGCUUAGAACGACGGUAGCAUAAAUAAGAUGAUUCCUCGCAAUAAUUUCAAGGAAGUGUUCCCCCUAACUGUGCACCGUUGCGAAGGUUCGUUGUUUCGAAGCACCACGUGAUGAUCGGGUGUGAUAGAUUCUAACGUUCGCAUACAACGGGUGUAAGCCAGAUUUACACAUGCGAAACACUUAGGUUGAUUUGACGAGCCUAGCAUGUACAGACAUGGCCUCAGAACACGAGAGACCGAAAGGUCGAACAUGAGUCGUAUAGCAGAUACGAUCAACAUGAAGAUGUUCACCGAUGAUGACUAGUCCGUCUCACGUGAUGAUCGGACACAGCCUAGUUGACUCGGAUCAUGUAUCACUUAGAUGACUAGAGGGAUGUCUAUUUGAGUGGGAGUUCAUUAAAUAAUCAGAUGAACUUAAUUAUCAUGAACAUAGUCAAAAGGUCUUUGCAAAUUAUGUCAUAGCUUACGCUUUAGUUCUACUAUUUAAGAUAUGUUCCUAGAGAAAAUUUAGUUGAAAGUUGAUAGUAGAAAUUAUGCGGACUGGGUCCGUAAACUGAGGAUUAUCCUCAUUGCUACGCAGAAGGCUUAUGUCCUUAAUGCACCGCUCGGUGUGCUGAACCUCGAGCGUCGUCUGUGGAUGUUGUGAACUUCUGACAUACACGUUUUCAUGACUACGUGAUAGUUCAGUGCGUAAUGCUAACGGUUUAGAAUUGAGGCGCCAAAGACGUUUUUGAAACGUCGCAGAACAUAUGAGAUGUUCCAAAGACUGAAAUUGGGAUUUCAGACUAGUGCCCACGUCAAGAGGUAUGAGACCUCUGACAAGUUUCUUAAGCCUGCAAACUAAGGGAGAAAAGCUCAAUCGUUGAGCAUGUGCUUGGAUUGUCUGAGUACUACAAUCGCUUGAAUCGAGUGGGAGUUAAUCUUCCAGAUGAGAUAGUGAUGGUUCUCCAUAGUCACUACCACCAAGCUAUUAGAGCUUCGUGAUGAACUAUAACAUAUCAGGGAUAGACAUGAUGAUCCUUGAGCAAUUCGUGAUGUUUGACACCGCGAAAGUAGAAAUCAAGUAGGAGCCUCAAUUGUUGAUGGUUAGUAAAACCACUAGUUUCAAGAAGGGCAAGGGAAAGUAGGGAUACUUCAUGAAACGGCAAAUCAGUUGCAGCUCUAGUGAAGAAACCCAAGGUUGAACCCAAACCCGAGACUAAGUGCUUCUGUAAUGAGGGGAACGGUCACUAAAGCAGAACUACCCUAGAUACUUUGUAGAUGAGAAGGCUGGCAAGGUCAACAGAAGUAUUUUGGAUAUACGUUAUAUUAAUGUGUACUUUACUAGUACUCCUAGUAGCACCAGGGUAAUAAAUACCGGUUCGGUUGCUAAGUGUUAGUAACUCGAAAUAAAAGGCUACGGAAACUAGCUAAAGGUGAUAUGACGAUAAGUGUUGGAAGUGUUUCCAAAGUUGAUGUGAUCAAACAUCGCACGCUCCCUCUACCAUCGAGAUUGGUGUUAAACCUAAAUAAUUGUUAUUUGGUGUUUGCGUUGAGCAUAGACAUGAUUGGAUUAUGUUUAUCGCAAUACGGUUAUUCAUUUAAGGAGAAUAAUGGUUACUCUUUUUAUUUGAAUAAUACCUUCAAUGGUCUUGCACCUAAAAUGAAUGGUUUAUUGAAUCUCGAUCGUAGUGAUACACAUGUUCAUGCCAAAAGAUAUAAGAUAGUAAUGAUAGUACCACAUACUUGUGGCACUGCUAUUUGAGUCAUAUUGGGAUAAAACGCAUGAAGAAGCUCCAUGUUGAUGGAUCUUUGGACUCACUCAUUUUUGAAAAGAUUGAGACAUGCGAACCAUGUCUAUUGGUAUAUAUGCAUGAAGAAACUCCAUGCAGUUGAAUCAUUUGGACUCACUUGAUUUUGAAUCACUUGAGACAUGGAAAUCAUACCACAUGGGCAAGAUGACUGAAAGGCCUCGUUUUCAGUGAGAUGGAACAAGAGAGCAACUUGUUGGAAGUAAUACAUUUUGAUGUGUGCAGUCCAAUGAGUGCUGAGGCACGCAGUGGAUAUCGUUAUGUUCUUACUUUACAGAUGAUUUGAGUAGAUGCUAAGUAUAUUUACUUGAUGAAACACAAGUCUGAAUUAUUGAAAGGUUCAAGUAAUUUCAGAGUGAAGUUGAAAAUCGUCGUGACAAGAGGAUAAAAUGUCUAUGAUAUGAUCAUAGAGAUGAAUAUCUGAGUUACGAGUUUGGCACACAAUUAAGACAUUGUGGAAAUUGUUUCACGACUAAUACCGCCUGGAACACCAUAGUGUGAUGGUGUGUCCGAACAUCAUAAUUGCACCCUAUUGGAUAUAGUGCAUACCAUGAUGUCUCUUAUCGAAUUACCACUAUCGUCUAUGGGUUAGGCAUUAGAGACAAUCGCAUUCACUUUAAAUAGGGCACCACGCAAUUCCGUUGAGACGACACCGUAUGAACUAUGGUUUAGAGAAACCUAAGCUGUCCUUUCUUAAGAGUUUGGGGCUGCGAUGCUUAUGUGAAAAAGUUUCAGGCUGAUAAGCUCGAACCCAAAGCGGAUAAAUGCAUCUUCAUAGGACACCCAAAAACAGUUGGGUAUGCCUCCUAUCUCAGAUCUGGAAGCAAAAGGGAUUGUUUCUAGAAUCGGGUCCUUUCUCGAGGAAAAGUUUCUCUCGAAAGAAUUGAGUGGGAGGAUGGUGGAGAUUUGAUGAGGUUAUUGAACCGUCACUUCAACUAGUGUGUAGCAGGGCACGGGAAGUUGUUCCUGUGGCACCUACACCAAUUGAAGUGGAAGCUUAUGAUAGUGAUCAUGAAACUUCGGAUCAAGUCACUACCAAACCUCGUAGGUCGACAAGGAUGCGUACUACUUCAAAGUGGUACAUAAUCCUGUCUUGGAAGUCAUGUUGCUGGACAACAACGAACCUACGAGCUAUGGAGAAGCGAUGGUGGGCCCGGAUUCCGACGAAUGGCUCGAGGCCAUAAAAUCCGAGAGAGGAUCCAUGUAUAAAAACAAAGUAUAGACUUUGGAAGAACUACUUGAUGGUCGUAAGGCUGUUGGGUGCAGAUGGAUUUUAAAAGGAAGACAAACAAUGAUGGUAAGUGUCACCAUUAAGAAAGCUUGACUUGUCGUUAAGAUGUUUUCUGACAAGUUCAAGGAAUUGACUGCGAUGAGACUUUCUCACUCGUAGCGAUGCUAAGAGUCUGUUGAAAUUAUAUUAGCAGUUACCGCAUUAUUUAUGAAAUCUUGCGGAUAGGAUGUCAAAACAUUGUUUCCUCGACGAUUUUCUUAAGGAAAGGUUGUAUGUGAUACAACCAGAAGGUUUUGUCAAUCCUGAAAGAUGCUAACAAGUAUGCAAAGCUCCAGCAAUCCUUCUAAGGACUGGAGUAAGCAUCUCGGAGUUGGAAUGUACGCUUUGAUGAGAUGAUCAAAGAUUUUGGGUUUAUACAAAGUUUAUGAGAAACUUGUAUUUCUAAAGAAGUGAGUGGGAGCACUAUAGAAUUUUUGAUGAGUAUAUGUUGUUGACAUAUUGUUGAUCAGAAAUGAUGUAGAAUUUCUGGAAAGCAUACAGGGUUAUUUGAAAAGUGUUUUUCAAUGGAAAACCUGGAUUAACCUACUUAAACAUUGAGCAUCAAGAUCUAUAAGGAUAGAUCAAAAACGCUUAAUAGUACUUUCAAAUGAAUACAUACCGUGACAAGAUUUUGAAGGAGUUCAAAAUAGAUCACCAAAGAAGGAGUUCUUGGCUGUGUUACAAGGUGUGAGUAUUGAGUAAGACUCAAGACCUGACCACGGCAGAAGAGAGAGAAAGGAUGAAGGUCGUCCCCUAUGCUUUAGACGUAGGCUCUACAGUAUGCUAUGCUGUGUACCGCACCUGAAGUGUGCCUUGCCAUGAGUUAGUCAAGGGGUACAAAUAGUGAUACAGGAAUGGAUCACAUGACAGCGGUCGAACUUAUCCUUAAUAUCUAGUGGACUAAGGAAUUUUCUCGAUUAUGGAGGUGGAAAAGGAGUUCGUCGUAAAGGGUUACGUCGAUACAAACUUUGACACUAAUCCGGAUGACUCUGAGUAGUAAACCGGAUUCGUAUAGUAGAGCAGUUAUUUGGAAUAGCUCCAAGUAGCGUGGUAGCUGCAUCUACAAGAUGACAUAGAGAUUUGUGAAGCACACACGGAUCUGAAUGUUGCAGACCCGUUGACUAAAACCUCUCUCGUAAGCAUAACAUGAUCAAACCCUAGAACUCAUCGAGUGUUAAUCACAUGGUGAUGUGAACUAGAUUAUUGACUCUAGUAAACUCUUGGGUAUUAGUCAAAUGGCGAUGUGAACUUUGAGUGUUAAUCACAUGGUCAUGUGAACUAGAUUAUUGACUCUAGUGCAAGUGGGAGACUGUUGGAAAUAUGCCCUAGAGGCAAUAAUAAAUGGUUAUUAUUGUAUUUCCUUGUUCAUGAUAAUUGUCUAUUGUUCAUGCUAUAAUUGUAUUGACUGGAAACCGUAAUGCAUGUGUGAAUACAGAGACCACAACAUGUCCCUAGUGAGCCUCUAGUUGACUAGCUCGUUGAUCAAUAGAUGGUUAUGGUUUCCUGACCAUGGACAUUGGAUGUCAUUGAUAACGGGAUCACAUCAUUAGGAGAAUGAUGUGAUGGACAAGACCCAAUCCUAAGCAUAGCACAAGAUCGUGUAGUUCGUUUACUAAGAGCUUUUCUAAUGUCAAGUAUCAUUUCCUUAGACCAUGAGAUUGUGCAACUCCGGAUACCGUAGGAAUGCUUUGGGUGUACCAAACGUCACAACGUAACUGGGUGGCUAUAAAGGUACACUACAGGUAUCUCCGAAAGUGUCUGUUGGGUUGGCACGAAUCGAGACUGGGAUUUGUCACUCCGUAUGACGAAGAGGUAUCUCUGGGCCCACCCGGUAAUGCAUCAUCAUAAUGAGCUCAAUGUGACCAAGUAGUUAGUCACGGCAUCAUGCAUUACAGAACGAGUAAAGAGACUUGCCGGUAACGAGAUUGAACGAGGUAUUGGGAUACCAACGAUCGAAUCUCGGGCAAGUAACAUACCGAUAGACAAAGGGAAUUGUAUACGGGAUUGAUUGAAUUCCCGACAUCGUGGUUCAUCCGAUGAGAUCAUCGUGGAACAUGUGGGAGCCAAUAUGGGUAUCCAGAUCUCGCUAUUGGUUAUUGGCCGGAGAGGUGUCUCGGUCAUGUCUGCAUGGUUCCCGAACCCGUAGGGUCUACACACUUAAGGUUCGGUGACGCUAGAGUUGUUAUGGUAAAUAGUAUGUGGUUACCGAAGGUUGUUCGGAGUCCCGGAUGAGAUCCCGGACAUGACGAGGAGCUCCGGAAUGGUCCGAAGGUGAAGAUCGGUAUAUUGGACGAAGGGUAUUGGAGUCCGGAAUUGUCCCGGGGGUACCAGACUAUGGCCAACAUGUCCGAAAGGGGUUUCGGAGGCCCCGGCAAGCGUUGGGGGCCUUAUGGGCCAAGGGGAAGGGGCAAACCAGCCCACUAAGGGGCUGUGCGCCCCUCCCAACCCCUCUCACGUAACCAGGAGAGGUGGGGGCGCCACCCCUAGGGCAGCCGCCCCUCCCGGCUUGGGGGGCAAGUUUCCUAGGGGGUGGGGGCGCCCAAACCCAUCUAGGGUUUCCCCUGGCCGCCGCCUCCUCCUCUAGAUCCAUCUAGAGGGGCCGGCCCCCUCUCCCCUUCCCCCUAUAUAUAGUGAGGGGGUGGGAGGGCAGCCACACCCCUUGCCUGGCGCAGCCCUCUCCUCCUCCAACUCCUCCUCCUCCUCCGUAGUGCUUAGCGAAGCUCUGCCGGAGAACCACGAGCUCCAUCGCCACCACGCCGUCGUGCUGCUGGAGUUCUCCCUCAACUUCUCCUCUCCCUUUGCUGGAUCAAGAAGGAAGAGAUGUCCCCGGGCUGUACGUGCGUUGAACGCGGAGGCGCCGUCCGUUCGGCGCUAGAUCGGAUCUUCCGCGAUUUGAAUCGCCACGAGUACGACUCCAUCAACCGCGUUCUUGUAACGCUUCCGCUUAACGAUCUUCAAGGGUAUGAAGAUGCACUCCCUCUCUCUCGUUGCUAGCAUCUCCUAGAUUGAUCUUGGUGACAUGUAGAAUUUUUUUGAAUUAUGGCUACGUUCCCCAACAUUUAUAGAAGUGUCUACAUGCAUUUUCUAACUUGUGUUGCACCUACUUUCUACGAAAUUCUCAUGCAUUGUCUCGAUAGCGAGCUAUUUAGCCAAAUGAGGUAUUCAACUGGACUACACAUUUAGAUUCUUAGAUGAGCUAGACAGUGCCUGCAUUGUCUAGACAGCUACCUAGCAAAAUGAGUUAUUCGACCGAACAGUUUUGUUCGGAUGAUUGUCUUGGUGUUAGUAACCUAUGUAUUCAGAUUCCUACAUGAGCUUGAUAGAAAUUCGAAUAUGUAGGUGCAGUCUCACACAAAGAAAGAGAAAAGAUUCAGUGUCAACGACUCAUGAAUGGAAAUAAAAACACCAGCGGGAAUCAUUUACUGUUUUCCCUACCUUAGAGUAUAAUUAUAUGAUCGCUUCACGGUUCUUUCCCUGAAGAUGUUUGGUAUAUGCUCAUCUUGUGCAUUUUUACCCUUUAGCUAAUUGCCCCCCCCCCCUUUUUUCCUUUUUCACUGUUCUCCUGUGUUGAAAGAGCUUCUAAUGUUCUUGCAGUCAGGGGCAAAAAAACUCACAAAAAUAUGAGCCCAAUGACCAUGAUCCGCUUGCAGCAAAUCUGGCUAAUUCGCUCUCUAUUGGGAAUAUUCCUCUUGGCAUGUUGGUUAUCCCUUUGCACUGAACUGCAUUAUUGAAUCGAAAGGUAGCUAUAUCAUGGGAGUGUAAAAUUUCAUAUUUAUUCACAGGGUUGUGGAUUAUUGUUAUUUAUUGUGAUUUAGAAAGUUUAAUUUUAGUGACAUUUGGUUUUAAUGAGUUCGACAAUAACCCGCAUAUGCUGUUAAUCAGAAGUUAUAUUACACAGUUUCAUCUUCGCUAUUGUCGCGGCAUAGUGUGACAGAAGUUACUCCAGUUGUAUGUAUGUAUCAUCCUUUUCCUACUCAAGUAUCGAGUGGCUGAUAUGUUGCUCUCACCUACAUCUUCUCUUGCAGGCACCUUUUUUUUAGCUGCAAUAUUCAUUUGGAUCUCUCAGCAACAUAUCUUUUCUACUUAAUACUCUACAUGCAUAAUGUUACUGACUUGUUUCCAGUCUAUCUGAAUUUUGUAUAGCUUUUAGAGUGCCUAUUCUCAUGAGCUAAUUCUGAUAUUUUUUGUAGAGCUUCCAUAUUAUCAUUAGGAAGAAUAAGGCUGUCAAGUAUAGCUUUUAGAGUGCCUAUUCUCAUUAGGAAGCAUUAGCUUUGUCUCAGAAGUUCUCUGUAAUGAUCAGCUAUUAGCUAUCAUCGAUGUUUCCAGAGAAUUGUUUCCAAUUGUCUGUCAUCUCAAAUUCUCAAUUGUAUUUAUGAGCAGAUAAAACAUCUACUGUAACACUUGCUGGUAUGAAUUACUUGGCUAUAUUUACGUAACUUGUAC